UUUUUUUUUUGGUUCUUCACCACUAAUACAUAGUUCCACUAGAAUUGGCUGAUUGAACGCAACGCUAGAUAAGAAAAGACGAGAGGCAAUUAUAGAUAUAGUAGUCUGUACUUUUGGAUGAAUGUAUCUUAUAUCUUAAUUGUAACUUUUCACAGGUAAUGAGAUACAUCGUACAACUGGAGAGUUUACCUCAAUUAUAUGUUAUUAUGCUCUUCAACUUUAUUAGUAUUAUUUCUUUUCUUAAUUGAAAUAUCGACAAAAUGCUUCAUUAUCUACCACAUAUAGAAAAUGAUAAAAAAAAUAAUUUUUGAUUGGAAAAAUACAGCCAAUGAGGGCUAUGGGCAUAUUAGCCAAGUAAAAUUCCACUGGGCAUAUUGAACUUGUAACUUCACACCGCACAUAGUGCGGUGAUCCUCUCCUAGUUUGGAUAAAAAUAUCAAAGGACCGGACAAAAUGUAGAUCCAAACGGGGCUAUAAGAGAAAUCGGGUCAAAUUAAAUCUUCUCCGACAUGGCUUCCGGCAGUCGUCGUUGCCAAUUUUAGAGCAAGGGUGAUGAAAGGCUCUGGGGAAGUGCAAAAUCACCUCGAAUUUCUCUAUUUUGGCAUAGGUUUGCCCCUUGGAGACUUUGAGCCCUUUUUUCUUUUAAUUCUGUUGCUUUUCUUCUGUUUCGAUUCACAUAGAAACUGGUUUUUCUGUUCAUUCAGGAGAUUUUGUACCUAUUAUAUAUUUGUAUUAAGGUUAACUGAUUUUUAUUUUUUCGCAUUGGUGUUGCGAGUAGACUAUGUUAGUACCAUUCCAAACUAUUCAAUCCCUCAAACCGUUUGACGAUGAUGAUUUUCGUGGGAAUACCCGUAAUGCAGGUUGGUAUGUAUAGUAUUCCUGAUUCAUGGCAUUAGGAAUUUGUAUAUGAGUCUGCAUAAAUUUUUAUGUCUAUUAAAUGAUACAUGCAUUGGUUGUAUCAAGAGAUGAAUUUUAACUUGUUCUGUAUCUGUUCAAACUAACUUAAGUUACCUACAAAUAAGCACUAAAGUCACAGCUAAUCUUGAUCUUACCAACAUUUAAUUGAUAUAUUCUUUGAAUUUUCUGAAUCACAACCUUGCAGGCAAGUUAGAGAUUCUUAACAAUACAUGGCCAUCAGGAGUAAAACGGGGAUGAUCAGAAUCCUUUUAGAAUAUUAUUAAAUUAGCAGUUUAACCUUAGGAAAAUAUUUGUCAUUAUCACUAAGAUACAGAAAAGAACUGAACUUCAUCAGUUUAGCCCAGAAAUAGGAACCAACCAUAUGUGACAUGUCAUCAUAUUGUGUAAUCUACAAGGAAUGGUAUGUGAAAUUCUUGAAACCUCUAACUAACUCAUGACAUCGAUAAAGUUAAGAUAUUUGUGAUGUUAAAUAACCAAACUGACAAUUAUUUAUUGUUUAUAAGGGUAUUGCAGGUUGGAUUUCUAUAAGCUAUUCAUGGUUGAAUUCUGUCCAGUGGACUCCUGAAUUUGCCUCGACUCAAUCUCAUUUUAUGUAAUUUCGACCAUGGCUAGCGUAAGAUAUUUGAGUUUCAACAAAAAUUCAGCAAUGUUACUGCAAAAUGAGAUUUCUUUGUUAAAAUGUGGUUGUUCAUGCUAUUGUUGAUCAGAUGCCAAUGAUGAGUUUCUAGAGCAUGUGCAAAAAAUUGAAAGUGAAUGCAAUGUUCCAAGAAGAUAGGUAUGUGACAGAAUCAUAAUGGAAGACAUGGUUCUUUUCCCUUAGUAGAAUCUUCUGUCCUAAGAUAAUCGAAUGUGCUAAGAAGAUAUACUAGUCGCAAAUAGAGGCUCUGAAGUGUACUCCCAUGCCAUAAUGACAAAAUGUAUCUGUUUAAAUGUUGGAGGCAUAAUUGAGCAGCCAAUGUAUUAAUAAAAUGUCUUUUGUGGCCUUGCUGCUUCAGACUAGGAUAUGGUUAUAGAUCUGCAAUAGCAAAUGACUCAGUAAUAAAAAGCAUUACUAUUAUGCAUAGAAAAGUUGUACCCUUUAUCUUUUUUCAACCUUUUAACUUUGAAAUAGUUCAUAUAAACUGCCUUCUAUGCAGUAGUUGCAACUACAAAGUUUACUUUUCAUUCUUUUGUUUCUCCAAAAAGCAAAUAGACCAUUAUUCGGUUGAUAUUUUACCAUAAAUAUAUGAGGUAGUGGAUUUUGAUGUAAUUUUAGAUUAUUAGGCCUUUUUUUGGGAAUAAAGAGAGCUAUUUUUUUAGGUGAAUUUUACAAUUUUUUUAUUUUUUUUGAAUUCUUUGCAUUAAAAUAUUGGUUGUUUUUCAGUUUUAUGAAUCCAUUACUCGUUUCAAUUUUAUGGAGUUUUGGGGAUUCAAGCUUGCUUUUGAACUUAGUUUUGUAACAAUACAAUUCUCUUACUAGCUUAGUCACAAUAGAAUUGUUUAUAGAAUCAAAUGAAUUCUCAAUGUUGUCCACCAUUUAGAACUUAACCAUGGUUGUCCACUUUAAUUAAAGUAAAUUAAAGUACGAUACAAUUGUUAGGCAAGUUUAAGAGUGAGAAUCAUCGUUCAUCCAAGUGCAGGUUCAACAAAAUUGAUUAUGAUUGAUUUAAGAUGAAUUUUCUUUUCUUUUCAUGUUUUCCAAUCCCAUUUCUUUCACAAAAUCCAUGAUUCAAAGAAAAGAAUUUCUGUGGAAUUUUUUUCCAUUUCCCUACUACUUUAUUUUGUUUCCAAACAAGAGAAAGGAUUAGGUUUUCACAAGGAAUUUACCUUCCAUUUGCUCGCUUUACUUUCCUUACUGGUUUCCUAGAACCAAAUAGAGCAUUAGUGAUUGUACUUGCGGGGAUGAAACCCAUCAUUGAAUUUGUAACCAUCAGAUUUUUGCAGAAAACCCAUCAUUGAAAUUUUAGCUGGCAGGAUUUGAUUUGAUGAGCAGUUCUUUCACUUUUCCUUUCCUACUGUUUGUUGAGAAAUUCUUAGCAUCUUUUCUUUUUUUCAUUUUGUCCAGUAUAUCUGUAAAAAUAGAGGUUCACAUAUGACCAAACAAAAGAGGAGAAACAUAGAUACAGAGCUUCUUACCGAAGGAGAAAAGCUUUAAGAAAGGAAUUUCCCUGGAGGUUAGUUUUUCUUAGCCUCAGGUGUAUAAUGUUUUCUCUACUUUUUAUGAUAAACUAUUGGUGAUGUUUCUUAGUAUUAAGUGCAACUUUCAAUGUGUGGUCUCCAGUGUUCUAAGGCAUCCAGAUGUCAAUAUGGCCAUUUUUUUUAGUUAUUAUUUUGUUUUCUGCCAACUAAGUGAUUUUGGGUUGGGUUUAAACAUGGUAUGUAUGUGAACUUGCUUGCUAUUGUAUUUAUUAAUUAUCGUGAACGUGAUUUGGUGAUGAAGAUGAGAGUUUAAACAUUUCUUAGUGAAUUUUUCCCCUUAACGAAUAAUUUUAAGGUAAGAGAUCCAGGGAGGAAACAUAUAGAUUCCUCCCACCCUGUUGUCGACAUGAUAUAAUGUAGAUUUCGUCAGGAAUAUUGCUUGGCUUGCCUUUUAGCAAAAACAAUAGGAAAAAGAACUUUGGGUUUUGUCUUUCUCUUCUCUGCUCAGUAUUAGUGCUGUGACUUUUAUAUUUUGCAUGACUUCUCUUUCAGUUACUCUGGUGUUUUGAGUAUGGGUUAGUAUUAGACAGCAUUUGGGCGAAGAUAAAAAGAAAAAAAUGAGUCUAAUGCUAAAACUAAUAGCUAUGAUCAAUUAUUUCAUGAGGUUAUGGUGCUGGCUAACUAAUAGCUUAUUCUUUUGUCUCUCGCAAAAGUAGUGUUGUUGCAAUUUCUUUCUUAUGUGCCGUCUGAAUGUGUUGAAAAUCGGGAAAGAAAGAAAGUUUAUUCGUAUAUGUAGUGCAUCGGAGUAACAAAAAAUACGUCUUCACCUCAUGAGAAUUAUUGUCCAAUAUAAUGGUUCCACUACUAAUGAGCAAUUCCUUAGAGAAUUUUGAUUUAAGAUAUCAAAUUGGAGGCAACUGCUUUGUUGCUAUUUAGCGGGAAAACAAAAAUUUUUGCUAUCUUAUGCAAACUGUGGGAAUACUUGCAUCUACUAUAUUGCCUCUGCAUAAUUGCUACCUGCAGUAUGACCUCCAUUCAUGAUCUAAUAUGCUUAGCUCGCUUAUAGUACAAAACUGGAAAAGACCACCUUCUUACAACUGAUGUAUUAUGGUGACAUCUGACUCUGGUCUUCAAAACUAGAGUGUCAAUCACAAUCCAAUUCUGUUAAUUCGCCGAAAUCCAACCACCAAUAACCAGCCCAAACCUGCCCAUUAAUUUUGAGUGAGUCUAAAUGCGUACCUAAUUAAACUCAUUUUUGGUUCGCAUGUUGGAAUCGGAUAAUUUUCAAGCUUAUUGUAUUCUCGAAUCAAUUAUUGACUCCAAUCGAGUAUUCACCAUUUUCACUUAACAGCUUCCAAAAUUAAAUUUUGAAACAAGUCACUUUAAAAUAUAACUAGCUAUAAUUCCAUAUAAUUAGGUCUAAAAAGGUUAGAAAUAAUAUUCAAGCAAUUGCCCAAAUAAAUAAUUAAAUGAGCUGAAUUAGGAGUUAAAAUAGAUGAAUUUGUGAGUCUUCACAUGAGUCUUGUAUUACUUCUCAAAUCUCUAAUAAAUUUGUAUCAGCGUGUCUUUUGAAAAAUUAUCGACGCGCAAGCGUAUACACUUACUUAAAACUCAUUCACUUUAUUCAUCAAUUAACUCUUAAUCUUACUAUUGAUCAUUCUUAAUUCCCCAAGAUAAAUGCACUCUCGAAUAGAAUAUCACUUGAAACACAUUACUCAUUAUUCCUCACUUAAAUGAACCUCCGAAAAUUAAAUUGCUAAUGGGACGUUUUAAAAACAUAAGGAAGACAUUGUUCCAUAUGAAUGGACUUAGAAUGGUUGAAAUAAAUUAUUUGGAGAAAUAGGUGAAUAAAUAUUUAAAUAAACCAAUAAUACUCGAUAAAAAUAAGAAAUUUUUUUUUCGGUUCUCACAUAAUAUAUGAUAUCCAAGGAUGCCCAGCCAUUAGAAUUGUUGAUAAUCAUAAUAAUCAUCUGAUUACAAUAAAUAGUUCAAUAAUUAAUGAUCAUUAUGAAUGACUAAACUACAUCUUAAUUUUUUUUGCUUAAAAGGAUCUACUUAAAUUAAGUUCUUUUCUGAAUAAUAAUAUAGAGGUUCUUCCUUACACAGAUUCAAUUAUUGGCAAUCUGGGAAUUUUUCUGUUUCACCAAAACAGUAGAAGCGGCAAGAUACAUUUGUCGGUGGUGUAGUGUCAGACUAUCAUUUAAUCAUUUACUCCUAAUUAUAGAAUAUUGUUGGUCCCACAUUAAAGACGUGAUUUAUAAACAACGCCUUCAUAUACACCCUUACGGCAGUUCGUUGAGUUCGGUUGUGAACUCCUGGCCAAGCGAGGCAAUCUCGAACGUCAGCAAGGACGGUUUCUCGGGCCGGGUUCGCCCUCUUGCCUCCUGUAUUCUUGCCCGAAUGUGGGCUUUAUGACUCGGGAAGUAAUUGAUAAUCAUGUAUCAAAUUUUGUUCAAAAAAUUUCAAGGCAUUUUAUCCUCUUUCCUCUACGCGGACAUGCAUAAUCUUGCGUUUCCACGGCAAAUAAUAAUAAUAUAAUUUGGUAAUCAUAACUGCCAAAUUCAAAGAAAGCUUGCUUUUGUAUGUUUAUUUUCAAUAAUGUUUUGCAAAUCUAUGUAAAAAUUAUUGUGUUGUAAAAUAGGAAUAUUCGUGUGUUCAUUUUAGACUUCUACUUUUUUGUAAUUUAAGAAGUAUACUAAUUUUAGGUAAAAUUUUGAUGUACUAUUAGUGUAUACACAAGCAAGUAUAAAAUAUAUAUAUCACAUAAUGUAAAUUCAAAUUUGAAAUUCACUAUUUGCAUAGAUGAUAUACUUUUAUGCCUAUAUGUAUAUAUAAACACACACACACACACACACACACACAUAUAUAUAUAUAUAUGUAUGUAUGUAUAUUAUAUAUUGUAAGUGAGAGGAUCGGAACUCAUAACCUCAUAUUUACAACUCUUCCCAUUUACCAUCCAAUCUAACUCUUCUAUAUAUAUAUAUAUAUAUAUAUAUAUAUCGAUCCUCCAUACAUACGUUCUUUAGUACUUGUGAUUAUUAAUUAUCUCAUUUUAGAUUGAUGAAUUUAUCAAUGACAUUUUUGUUUAAAAAACGUAAUGACAUCAAAUAGGCACAAUGAUCUACACGACAGAAUUGUAUGUAAUAGGCAAUGAUUUUGGAAAUUCAUUUCCAUUACAAGAGACAUAUUGGGGAUUAUAGUUUGUAAUGUGUCAACUAGUCAUAAGCACUUGUCAUCCCCUGUGGGAAGAGAAACAUGUAGUUCACCUAUUCACAAGUGCAAAGAAUAUUUCCUUUAGCAAUUUGAUUCUAACGUAAUUUUUGUAGAACAUGCAAACUCAACAGACAUGGUGUAGGUGUGAACACAUCUGAUUUUGAAAAAAAAAUAUUGCAAUAUGGAACCCAAUUUUGAAUUGGGUCAAUCACAAUCCCAUCUAGCACAUAGUAUCUUGGGAUACAUUUGGAACACUUUAAGAUUUCUAACAAUUUCACUUAGUGCUCCUGAAUUUUGAAAAAUAUCACUUUCCUCCCAUAUUUUUUUUAUUUUUGAUAACACUAUCAACCCAUUUCAAAAUAAAUUAUUAAAAAAGGGAUUAUUAUCAUUUUACCCCUAACCUUUAUAGCUAUUAUCACUAUACCCUAUAAUAUUAUCUUUUAAUCAGUUUACCCCAAGACUAACAGUCAAAGCAAACAGCGUUACAUAAUUUAGAUGAAAUGACAUAUGUAGCCCAAAAUAAUAGUUGAUGACAAAAAUGCCCAUUUUGUUCCAAAAUUGCAAUGGGCAGGAAAAAAUGCACGUUAUGUAGGAAAAUUAAAAAAAGGAAAAAAAGGGAAAAAGAAAGAGUUAUUGCUUAGGAGGGAACUUAGGAGGGUUCCCUCAUUGAAGUGAAAUUCUUAUUUCAUUCUCUUUUAACGAAGAAAAGAAAUUUUUACCAGUGUUUAAACCCCUAAAUUUCUUUAACCUUACAUCUCUGCUCUUUGACGAUCAAAGGAUCAAGUGAUCAACAAAUCCAAAGAAAGAUCGAAAGACUUUGUAGCAGGAGUUGAGAAUUGUUGGUGUGAAAGAAAAAUAAAACAAGGUACAUCUCAAAAUACCAAAAUGUAAUGUAAUAUUCUUCUGCAUGUUGAUCCUUUCAAUAUGCUAAAAUGAUUUAGCUGUUCCAAGGUAGUAAUCUUUAAAUCAAUCACGUUAGUGGAUUUGAAAUUCAAGGGAAAUACAGACUUACAACUUAUUGGUUACAAUAACUAAUAUUAUAUUAGUCCUAGCCAACCUACCAAUUGCUCUAUAGAAAAAUAUUCCUAGCCAAGUAUAUGGAUUUUUAUGAAUUAGUAGAUUGUGAAUCAAUGACUCGAGGCUUUUCUAUUCUUGUACUUUUAUGCGUAUUUCAGUUGGAUGUAUCAUAUAUAUUAUGGUUGACUUUUCAGAGCCACAAGUAUGCACACUUUCAGAUUCACUAUGAUGGCCAUUUUGUCCAUGCUCCUAUGUUUGAGUACGUGGGGGGAAAAGUAGCACACUUUCUUGACAUUGAUCCUGAUCUCAUGUCAUAUUUUGAAAUUCUUAGCUACUUGAGAAAAAUUAACGUGGAUGAAAACUUUCCGAAGUACUAUAAGAUUUCUGGAUUUGACUUGUUACAUGGGCUUAGACUACUUAACAGUGACAGUAAUGUCUUAGAAAUGCUUGAAUUCAACAGGAACCACAAUAUGGUUGAGAUAUAUGUUGGUUUUGGUGUCGAUAAUGAUGCUUUUGUUGAGGAACCUAUGCUUAAUAAUUUGGUUGACAACAGUGCUCAUCUGGAGCACCUUGAAGUUGGAAAUGCUGCCAAUGAUGAGGGAAAUGGUGCUGGAGUUCAAAAUCAUGAGAGUUUAGAAAAUGAAAAUGAGGACUGUGAUUCUUCUGACGAAGCGUAUCAUGCUGAAGAAGGAGGAUCAAGUGAUGAUUCUAAUUUUGAAUUUUUUCUUGAUGAUUGAAUGAUGGGUGUGAUCCAUGGGAAGGGGAAGAAAAUUUAGAGGAAACAAAUGAACAGCAAAACUUCUCAGAUUAUAGUGAAUAUGCUCAGUUGAUUGCAAAGGAGUACCAGGCUUAUGUUGCCUCUAGGGAGAAGGGAAAAAUGUUAGAGACAGAGUUUGUCAGUGAUGAUGAAGUAUUGACUGUUGCUUUAAACUCAUCUGAUGAAGAACAACAUGAAGAUUUUCCUGAAUUUAAUAUUGAAAAGGACAUGGAGAAGCCUAACUUAGAAGUUAGACAUCUAUUUACUAAUGUGCAAGAUUUUAGGCUUGCUAUAAGACAUCAUUCUAUAGUAAAUGGGUUUGAGAUAAAUUGGAAAAGAAAUGACAAUGAUAGGAUUGUGAUCACUUGCAAAAGAAAUUGUGGCUGGAGAGUGUAUGCCAGUGAGUAUAGGGAUACCAAACAAUUCCAAAUAAAAACACUAGAUAGAACUCCUCAUCAAUGUCUACAUUCCUACAAGAACAAGAGUGCUAAUGCAAAAUGGAUAGCCCAAAGGUUUAUUAGAGACAUUGCGGAUAAUCCAUCUCUAAAAAUUGAUGUACUUAAGAAGGUAGUGAAAAGAAAAUAUAAUGUGAAUGUGUCUGACCAACAACUUUACAGGGCUAAGAGUAAGGCAGCUAAGAUGAUCCAGGGUGAUCAUAAGAUGCAGUAUUGGAGAAUUAGGGACUAUUGUGCUACAAUAAUUUGUAAGAAUCCAGGUUUUGUUGCUAUUGUAGUAAUUGAGAGAUUGCCUAUGUGCCCUAAUCCGAUCUUCAAGAGAAUGUUUGUGAUGUUUUCUACUCAAAAAGAAGGCUGUAUUGUUGCAUGUAGACCUGUGAUAGGACUAGAUGCUUGUCAUAUAAAAUCUACAAUGGGGGGACAGUUGAUGGCUGCUGUUGGUAGAGAUGCUAACAAUCAGAUGUAUCCACUCGCUAUGGCACUAGUAGAGUCUGAAUGCAAAGAUAGCUGGGACUGGUUCUUGACUACUAACUGAUCAUAUUGGAUUACCAAGUGAAUUAGGUUGGGUUUUCAUCUCUGAUAGACAAAAGGUUAGUCAACUAUUAUUUUGGUUUAGUUGACAAAUUUUUUUCCCAUUUAUUUUACACAUGAUGCUAAUUACGUAUUUUGUUUACAUGGAUUGAUUGAGAUAAUGGAGAACAGAUUUCCUAGAGUUGAGCAUAGAUAUUGUGUCAGGCAUAUGUACGCCAAUUUUAAACUACGAUUCAAAGAUAAACAAUUGAGGAAUAUCAUGUGAGCGGCUGCUAGAGCCUAUGUACCAAACAGAUUUGAGGCUAAUAUGAGAGAAUUACAAGCAAUAUCACCUGAAGCUCAUGCAUGGUUAAGAGUUGUUCCAACAAACUUAUGGGCAAGACACAUUUUUUCUAGUAGAACUAAGUAUGACCUUCUAACCAACAACAUAUGCAAGAGCUUCAAUCAAUAUGUUAAGAAGGCAAGGCAAGAACCUAUUUUGAUCAUGUUUGAGAAUAUUAGAAGACAAAUCAUGUGUAGAUCUCAUGAGAAAAGACAAUGGAUUAAAAGAGUUCAGUCCAAAAUCUGCCCAAGAAUAGUUGAGAAAAUAGAUAACCACAAGACUCAGGUGCCACUUUUUGAAAGUAGGGAAUCAGAAAGUGGGAUAUGGGAAAUUGCUGAACCUACUAAGAGUUAUAUAGUUUCCAUUAAUGAAGGUAGCUGCACAUGUAAAGAGUGGGAAAUGACAGGCAUCCCAUGUGUUCAUGCUUGUGUGGCAAUUGUGAAUAGGGAUGGUGAGCCAGCUAACUUUGUUCAUGAUCGGUACACAGUUGACAUGUAUAAAAGGGCCUACAUGAACCUUAUUAUACCAGUUCCAGAUGAAAACAAGUGGGUGAAAUCAAAUACAGAUCCAGUGGCACCCUCUCUUAUAAGAAAAGCACUCAGCAGGCCAACAAAGAAAAGAAGAAAGGGACCUGAUGAGAACCAGCAAUCCAACAAACUUAGCAAAAAGGCAUACCAAUUCAUUGCAGUCACUGUGGUCAUACAAAUCACAAUGUAAGGAGCUACAAAAACACUGGCUGCUUGUAUGUUAGGAAAAGAAAACAGGUAGUGACCAGCUUUAUUUGAUUCAUAAUUCAACAAGUUUCAGCUUUUUGUUAGCUUAGUUCUUUAUCUUUUUUGUUCUAGGUUGAAAAAGCUACCGGUAACAAUUCAGAAGAAACUAGCAUACAACCAAAAAAUUCCCAAGUUGCACGUACAUGCAGUGUUAGAGAUAGGGGAAUUGCUAUUGGAAGGGGGUGUGGCUUAAGUGUUAACUACAAUAGAGGUAAGAGAACUAAGAUGGGAAGGGGUCGUGGCAAAUGUGUAAGCUAUGGUCCAUUGAGUGGGAUUGACAACUGGAAUGGUAUGGGAAUGUCAACUGGAACAACUUUUAUUCACCACUCAAGAAUCGUAAAAUUGUUCACUUUUGCCUAGUUUCCUUUAUCAGUACAAUCAUCACUCAUAAAUGUAAUUCAUUGCAGAUUUCCCCACAAAUGGUGCCUACAAAGUGUGCUAGUCAGAGUGGAAGUGAAGGCAGAGUGACUACUAUUAGAGCUGGUGGAGGAAGCAAUGGUGAUAUUAUGAGUGAGAAAGCAAGUGCUGAUAUUAUGAGUGACAAAGCAAGUGGUGAUUUUAUGACCGGAGCUCCAUUUAGAACUUCAAGCAGUAAAAACUACAACGCUGGAAAUCAGGUUAGAAUAUUGAAGCCUUGUGCAAUUUAAUAAACUCCAGUGAUGUAGUGUUGGUUGUACGGUUAUGCUUUUUCAUAUUUUCACAUCUUCUUUUAGGUUCACAAGGUGCAAACUAGAUAUGGAGUCCAUUUGCUAUCCAGCAAAGGAUCGUCAAGUGCUGCUUCAAAGUCCAGCAUACCAGUUGGCAAAAAAUGAUAUUUCUAAUGGUCAACAAUUUGAAGAUAAUGUUUUGUUCUUUUCUUUUUGGAUGAAUUGAUGAUAUUUUGUUAUUAAUUUUGAUGGAUUCCCACUAAUGACAGAUAGUGAAUGAUUUUUUUUUUGUCCCAACCAGACAAUGAUUAUGCUUUAUAUAUAUGUAACAGCGAGCUAAACUUGAUAUUGAGAAUACAUUCAAGGUCAAUAGAAUUUUUUUUUAUUUGGUGGUAGCAUCUAACAACAGUCGUUAAUCUUCUUCAUUGUCACUUGGUAUAUGAAAUUUCAAUUUUUUUGAAAGUUUGCAAAAAGGAUCUAUCAGUCUGAAAAAAGCAAAAAAUAGUUUCUAGUAUAAGAAGUUCCAGAUGAUUUUUUUACACUUACGAAAAAAUAUAAAUAUGUCCAGAAAAAUUUUAUAUUAUAACCUUGUAGGUAGAGUAGACAAGAAAUUAAGAGAAUAAAAUAAGAAAUAAAAAAAUAAAAAUUAAGGGAUUUGUGAACGAUUUAAGAAAAAAGAGAAUAAAAAAAGGUUGGAUAUCAUUUUAAGAGAAAAGGAAUUUAAAAAAAAAUCAAGACAAUUGCAAAUACUAUGAGCAAAAAAAAAAGAAGAAACAAGUUCUUCAAGGCUUAAGGGUAUUUUCGUCUUAAAAAUUAGUAACAACGAGUUGGCUAACGGAAAUGGGUAAACUGACUAAAGAAUAAUAUUAUGGGGUAAAGUGAUAGUAGCUAUAAAGGUUAGGGGAUAAAAUGAUAAUAACCCUUAAAAAAAAAACUCAUUUUUGGAUAAAGAAGAUGAUUUCAUUCCAAACGUGCCCUUAUUCAUCCUAGUUUUUUUUUUGAAAAAAUUUAAAAGUAUAUUAAGAAAAGGUUGAAAUUAAUAGACAUAUUGUUUGAAUGUGCAAUUUUAGUGGGAUACAAUAUAACAGUAAGUGUUUUAAGGUAUAAAUAAUUUAUUUUUAAGAGUAUAUUUGAGGUGCUUUCAAACCAAAAAAAUAUUAUUAAUUGCAAAGUGUUUACCAUCAAUUUGAUGAGUUUUUUAAAUUAUUAGAAUUUCUGAAAAAUAGAAUAAAUUUAUAUUAUAUUUAAAAACUCAUUUUAUAUGUUUUCGAAGACUAAAAGGAGUUAUUAUUUUAUUGAAAAAUGUUUGUGAAUUUCUAAAUUUAAUAUAUAUUGUUUCAACUAAUGAUAUGAAAACUAUUAAAAUAUUUUUCAAUCUUGUUAACAUCCUAUAAUUCUUGGCUACAAAAUUAUAACGGCAAAGUUUUAAAAGUUUAAGAUAUUAACUAAUUUAUUAUGAAAACAAAAAAGACGUACAAGAAAAGGGCAACAUUGGAAUGAACACGAAUUCUCUAUUCAAACAUAAGUUUUUUAAUAAUAUAUUAUAAAAUGAGUUUACACUGCUAUAGAAAAAAGUUGAAAAUAAAGGAGGCAAAUAAUAUCUUUUAAAAUUCAAGAGGUUAAGUGAAUUGUCACGGAACUCAAGGAAAGCCGGUGAAAUUAUCCCAAAUAUCUUUAUCCCAAGUGUCCUUAUCCACGUUAAAAGAUUGUGGGGAUAAUUACUCUGAGUUUAAAGUUUUAAACCGCACUUUCAAUUAUCAAUUGACUAGAUCGUAUUGAUUUAUGAGCUCCACUUUAGAUUAUAUUUUGCACUAAAAUUUCGAUUACCUCUGAAUGUUAUUCUAAUUUUGUUAUAUGAUUUCCAGUAAUUUCGAUUGUUGAAAAAAAUGUCUUUAUCCACAAUAACCCUUCGCACAAUUUCUUCCUAGAAAGGACGGAAGAGAAAUCAAGUAGCCCUAGUUGAUGCAUAUCAGUACUGAACUACUGAUGAGUAGUGACUCACAACAGGAUAAGCACUAAGGAUAUGAGAUGAGAGAUCUCGUGGACCAAUCAAUUUGCGGAUUUUGAUAAUCUGUGGACCAUGUAAUAUGCUUGUGGUGUAUAUUUUUUUGAAGGUAAACUACUUUUUUUUGUCUUAGUAAUAUUAUUUUAUGUAUCCAUGGACCAUGUGUUAUUAAUUUAUUACACUGGAUAGUAGAUACCGAAUAGUCAAAUACCACCUGUCAUUUUGCUGAAGCUGAUGGCUUCUUUUUUUUUUUUCAAUUAUGCCCUUUUCGCAUAAAAUUGCCCUUUUCAACUUUCUUGGGUUUUCUCUAAAUUGACUGAGAAGCAUAUGGUGGGGUCCAGAGCAUUAAUAGUUGAGUUGAACAGUUGAAGUCAAAUCCGUGAUAAUUUGUGGUUCACGUUUCUCUGAUUUUCUUUACGUCAUUCAUGACGUAAACAUUUUUGUAUUUAUAGGUUAGAACAGCCAUUGGAUGACAGCCACUGUGGGUUUCACACCCAUAGACACCUAUCAAAACAGUUUCAUUAAUUUAACAAAUUUAGUUUCUUAAUUAUACUUAAUUAUUCAAAGACCCAAAAUAUUUUUUAAAAUUGAUUUUUCUUUGGUUUUCUUAUUUUGCAUUAAGAGAUAAUUUUAGUAACCUCCUCUCAUAUUUAUAUUAAUAUCAUUUGAUAUCCCUAAAAUUUAAGAAAGUUCACCUACCUCCCUUAUUUUUAACAUUUUUUUAACUUUAUCAAUCCAUUUCAAAAGAUUUGAUUUAAAAACUUAGGCCCUGUUUGGAUUGCCAUUUUCUGUCAGAAAAUUGCGUCGUUUUCCGUGAUCACAUUUCCCUAUUACCUUUUUCCCUCACAUACAUCAAAUCGCUACAGUAAUUUUUCCAUGAAAAAUGACGAAAAAUGCAAUCCAAACGGGACCUUAGUUUGAGAGAGAUAAAACAUUUCUUUUCAAAAACUACCCGUUUCUUGUGCACAAUUACUUUUCAUAAUAAAUCAAAUUAAAUCCUUAAGAAUUACAAUAUAUUAAUGAAAUUGAAAGACCUUUUUGUAACUUUCUAUGUUAUCGGUCCGGACAAGAAAUGCAAAAGAAAAAUUGUUAUUAUUAGAAAAAAAUAACAUUUUGCAUCUUGAAAAUACCUCAAAUGAGUUUCUAAAAAUAUUGUUAAUAAUUUAUCUUUCUCUUAUAUUCAAGCCAUCGAUUUGGACAAAAAGUUAGAAUACUAAACAAAAUUCUAUAAGUUUUAUAAAAUUCUAAAUUUAUCUAAAAAUACUUUUUAAUAAAGAAAGUUACUUUUACAUUUUUUGGAAACACCUCAAAUGAGUAAAAAAUUAUGUCUGUUUUUUAUACUCAAGUCAUCUGUCUAUACAAAAAUUUAGAAAGUUCAUUUUUUUAACAUUCAUAAAACUCCUCAAAUUAAUGAAAACACUUCAUAGUGAACGAAAAAUAUUUUAGCUUGAACGCACCCUUAAAUAGUAAUCUUUUGUGCCUUAAAAACACCUACUCGUAUAAUUUUUUCUAUUAGAAUUAAAGCAUUUCCUCUCUCCAAAUAUGAGUUUCUUAAUAAUAUUUUUGAAUUGGGCUGAUAACAUUACAAAAAGCUGAAAAUGAGAAAGGUAAGUGAAAUUUUUUCAAAAUUUAGGGGUAUCAAGUGAUGUUGCAACAGACCUUAAGGGAGGUUUCUGAAACUAUUCCUUGCAUUAAUGUAGAAAUUGUUGGUUGGCUUCGCAAAGGUAGAAAAGCUGCGACCCCUUGGCACGUCAGGUUGAUGAUAGAGCACUUUUCUUUCGUUGAUUUUGAAGUUUAAGCUGGUACAGUUUUAAUAUGUUUAUACGUCUAUGGAAUUGCAAAAAUGAUGAUAAUUUUUAAUCAAUUAAGGAAAAUUUUUUUCUCUCCAUAAAAAAAUUUAGCGUCUUAAUCGACUUUGCAGUCCAUUAGUAUACAAAAUCUUACAUGUGCCUCACUCUCUCAUAGAUUUCCGUUUGUAAACAUCCCAGAAUUCCGAUGCAUUAUGAAAUAUCAUCAAAUAGGUUGCUAGUAAAGAAGAGAGUGACUUUUCUUGGAGGAAGAAGACGGUGACUUAAAAGUCCGUUGCAUCAAUUUUUCUUUUGAGUAAUCCUCAUUAUCAUUUGUUGGCAAUCAUUUUAGUUCAAACCCCCUUAGUCAAAGUACUCAAAGGAACUACUGCCUUAAUCUGUCCAUAUGAAAAGAAAAGGGCUUCCACCGAGACUGUAAAUAACAAGAUGAUUGACAAGUUAGAUGGCAUACCUUCUGAUUAAACAAUAGUCACCAAUAGUUAAGUAUUUAAUUAAACAAUAGUCAGCUUGCCGCAGCAUAUCCAAGUCACCAAUAGCAACAUACCUUUUGAUUCUACACCAAUAAAUUAAUCCUUUCCUCGUAUUCUCCCAAAGAUUAAGGAAAAAAAAGUAAGAUUAUAGAAACAAAGAAAGUUCAGUCAUGCCCCUAGCUUGAGUAAAUCGAGGGAAAGAAAAACAAUAUAUAUAAGAGGGAAGUCAGACAAGUCGUUUAUUGAAAAUUUUUUAACAAUAUUUUUAUAAUCUAACCUAUCUUAUUUAUUUUAUAUGAGAGUGAAGUCUAAAAAAAUUAUAUAAAAAAUUAAUAAAUAUACAAAGAUGACUAGACAAAAGAAUGUUUUAACAUCUCCUUUUAUUUUUCAUUUGUUUUUCUCGGCAAAUGAAAUUGAAUUCUCGACUUACAGAGAGUUACCGUCUAGAGAGAAAUUUGGAAUAUGCUUGGAUUAUAAUUUUUUAAAAAAAAUUAUUAUAUUUUUAUAAACAUAUUUUUUUAAUCACUUUUUUACUUCACAAAUAUCAAAAUACUACAAUAAUUUUUCUACAAAAAAUUCAAAAAAUACAAUCUAAACAAAAUCUUAAUCUUUUUUUGAUGGUGGUAUAAAAUAAUUAUGAAUAUAUGUAAACCCCCGAGCAGAAACUAUGUAGUUUCUACAGGUGUCUAUUGUCUUAUAUAUAUAUAUAUAUGUAUUAUUUUUUACUAGAAGAAAUUCUCAAAAUAUUUUCACAUCUUCAUUUUAUUUUAAAUUAAAUAGAAAAUAAAAAAUUUCUAUUUCAAUUGAGCACAACCUGUCUUUUGUUGCCUCCCCAAAAAAAAAAAAAAAAAACAGAGCCAAAGCUUAUUGACAAUUUAUCCAAAAAUAUAUAUAUUUUAUUGAAAAUUUUUUAAGAGUACUUUUUGUGAUCACUUUUUGUUUUAUAUAAAUCAAAUGUUUAAAGAUGGCAAAAUAUUAUUUAUUUUUCUAAAAUUACUUCUUAAAACCGCAAUCCGAAUUUACACCUCAUAAUCCUAUCUCCCAAUUUAACCCAACAAGGCACAAUUAGAUGCCAAUUCUCAUUCUCAUCGCCAAAUACCACCAAAAUGCUGAUUAGAUUUGACCAACAAAAAAGGGGAUUAAAAAUAUGUACAAUACAUUAACCAUAAUCCACAUAGUCAACAAAAGAUAAAGUAGCCUCAGCUACCAAAAGCCGAAAAAAAAAGGGCCAAAAAAAAAACAAAAAGGAGCAGAGAAGUAAAAGUGAUUAAGCUAAAAAGUAAAAUCCACCCAAAAUUUGAUUUUACUUCACAAUUCAGUAGGUCGGAACGACGCCGUAAGACGCAUCAGCAACUAUUAACGAUUCAAUUUCAACUUCCGCCCGCUUCGCAAACCUUCCUUUAAUUCUGGGUCGGGUCUCCGCAUAGGCCUUUCUCGAAGCAUACCGAAUCGUCUUCUCGAAUUUUCUGUUCUUCCUUUUCUCCCUGUACCUUAAAACCCUCGCUUCUCUAUCCACGCCGGAGACCGGAUUCGUAACGGCAUCGCUCCUUGAGAAAUUGUUGGAUACAUCCGCCAUCGCAUUGUGGUCCGGUACGACCCCCACCUCCAUAGAAGACGAUGAAACCUGCCAAAAAAAAAAAUAAAUCAAAAUAAAUAAACUGAAUAUAUUAAUUUUUUUGGUCAAAACUGAAUAUAUUAACUGAUUGGCCUAAAAUAAAAAAAAAUAUCACAUACACUUUGGCUGAUGGAUUGAGAGCUGAAGUUGUACAUAAAACUUUUAGAUCCAGCAAAAUCCAUUUCAUAGGUGGGGAAUCCAUCCACAACUGGACCGGGUAAAUGGGUCGGAUCAUUCUUGUUCUGCACUGGAACAACUCCAUCGGAGUUAUGCUGGUGAACAUGAUUGUGAUGAUGGUUUUUGAUACUGCACGACAUGAGGCUUUUGAUCACUGGAUAUCAAAUCCAUAUCCAAAUAAGGAUCCAUAUCAGUAAACAAAUAGUCCGCAGUCUUGUACUCCGGACUAUCCGGUUCUAAAUCCUUAUUACAGUUCGGGUUAGGUAGCAGCCACGAAGCGGCUUCCGCUUCCUCGCCUCGCUGCCGAGGUCGAGCAAACAUUUCUCGUCGCUAGCUCCUGUACACCUGGCAGCCGAGGCCGAGUCGAAGAAGGGUGAUCGGAAUCCGCUCGUGGCGGCGGGCAAGCGGGUUUGCAGAGUGGAUGUCGCGGUCACAGGCGUUGCAUAGGGCUGCAGCAUCCGCCUUGCAAGUCACACUUGCAGGGGCUUGCUCGCAAACUUCGCAAACCCAACGCGCCCGUGGCGGGAGGCUAGCUUAUUCGCGGCGUGGAUUUUCGAGUCACAGGCAAGGGCAUAAAAAGCGGAGUCCGCCCGGCAGAACACGCUGGCCGACGUCGCUUGCACGAGUCACCGGCUUGGCCGUUAAACUCCAACCUUCUGCACCCAUUUUUUCGCCACUCUCUCUAUCUAAAAUUUUCUCUCACUAGAAAAUGAGAGAAGACGUGCUGUGUAGUGGUGACUGUUUUAAUUUUUCUUUAUUGCUUUUUCGGACAAUAAAGCGGGCAAUCACGAUUCCUAGUGGGCAGGGCAAUCCGGGUGAUCCAAUGGAGAUUCAACACGUGUAACAAGCUUAGCCAAAUACAAGGGCGUUUUAAUUAUGUUGGAAAAUGGAGGAUUGUCGUUAGUGUGAGGUGGGGAUGUCGUUUUUAUGGAGAUAGGUCCACAAGAUAAGAGACGUGUUAGUACAGAAGGGUCUGUUUGGAAUUUUGUCAAAUCUGUAUCAAAAUACUAAACCAGAAAAGUUGAUUGUGCUAUAGUGGGUCCCAAGGGAUUGCCGGUGUUUGGAAAUCGGAAUGGCGUGUGAUGUUUCUAGAGCUGUAUGGCUUUUGCCACAGUUGUAGGGCAUUUCUACAAGCGCAUUGUACCACUAAACCUUUUUUUUUUGUUGUCUACUUCUAUAUUUAUUUUUUGGGAGAAAAUAUAAGCAAAUACGUGAAUUUAAUUUGCUAAAUUUGCUCCGUAUUAAAGAUGGUAAGAAAGAUUGUGUAAUUUUGAAACAUUCCAUGUUAUGCGGUGUAAUAACGAUAAAAAAAGUUGGAUGCAUUAUGUGAAAACCGAAUAGAGUAUGAUUUUUUUUGUUUUAAUAAAAAGCAAAUUUCAUUAGUGGAUUGUUGAAAAUUGUCCCGCACAAUUUGAUUUGCAUUACUGCCAUAGUGAUAGAUUAAACAUGCAUUAGAAAUUAUAAUCUGCAACUUAACAAAUACAAUAGAUUUGGAAAAUAUAAAAAAUUUCAAAAUUAUAUUCUAAGUUAAUUCACUACAGUUUCCUUUUAUACAUGUUGCAAUCGACAGGUCUACUAAUCAACGGUCUUACCUCCAAUAAUGAUGAUAGAUUUGUCGAACUAAAUUCAAGAGCCAAGAAAAUUUCAGAUCUAACGAUCAGAUUUGAAAUAAAUUCAUAUUUAACAACAUAAUAAGAAAAAAAUACAAAAUCUCCAUAGGAUCCCCAGGAGAAAGAAAUUUCUCACUAAAAACUCCUAGAAAAAUAGAAACUCUCGUUACAAAAAUUUUGAAGAGACUUUAUUAGAAAAACAGACAAACGGGGAUUUAUGGAGGGAGACCAUGGUGUGAUUUUCCUGCUUUAGAGGAAGGUUUAUGAGAGGAUGACUACAGGAGGAAAAAAGUUGGAGAAGAGGAGAGCGGGGAGAAGGUUUGAAUGGAAUAUGGUUUUUUUUUUUAAAUCAAAUAUGUGAUGAAUGCAAAUUAAUGCAUUACCUUCCUAAUUCUCUAACCUUAAUGGAAUUUAGAAAUUCUAAAUCCUUUUUAGCCUUGUUUGGAUUCCAUUUUUGUGGAAAAAGUUUUUUUAUUUUCAUGAAAAUAUUUCUUAUCAAAUAUUUUAAUCACUUUUUUACCUUACAUAUAUAUCUUUAAAAAGUAUUACAAUAAAUUUUUUACAAAAGCUCUCAAAAAAUUACAAUUCAAACCAAAAAUAAGCUUGUCGAUGGCAAAUGCUAGCUUCUUGAAGAAAUAGAUUUCUUAUCCUAAUUCUUGUAUAUAUGUUUAGAUACAAAACUUGGGGCAUAAACCUACUUCAAAAUUUGCACAUAGAGGUGGAUUUCCUAUAAAUAUUGAUGUUUUUGACUUUAAUGCAUCAUCAUUAUUAUUAGUAUAAAAAAUGAUUCCAAACCUUAUAAAGGAAAAAAGAAAAGGAGAGACUUGAUGGUUUAACCAUGACCUCACAGUUAUGUCGCUAAUAUCCUACUAGUUAAAUUGAGCUUGAGAAGGCGUCAUUAUUCACUUACUUAUAUCAACCUGCUCCUGGACCAUGCUACUGAUGUUAUCUUAGUUUUAGGCACUAUUCACGGUACCAAUGAGUGGUUCUCAUGUUUUCAAUUCGUCAAUUUUUUUGACUCUUGCAGCAUGAAUAAUUAUUGGUCUUUCUUGAGGUUGUCAUGAUUGAGAGAAUCUUACCUAAAUUACUCUUUUGUGAGCAUUUAUUCAUUACGUACCGUAACACCUAGCUUUUGAUUGAGGAAUGGUCAACUUUCACCAACUCCACGUUUUAACACCUCCUUAUGUACCGUAGGAUAGAUUUGUGUCACAUUUCCAUGACCCAGUGCCUUAAAAACUUUGACCUGAUUGAUUAAAAAUUCGAUAACCACUGGACAAUGGUUCAGUGGCCAUCAGGAAGAGAUUUAAGUCUCUUUUUUCAGCGAAAAAAAUCUAAAAAUUGUGUUAUAAAACUUUCUUAGUCUAGUUGGGUCUGAAUAUCCACUAGCCCCCUUCCACAGCCUCCUUAGACUCGCCCUCCUCCCUAGAUUAGGAUAGAGUAUGUUAUACAAAUGUAUCGUUGCUGAAAAAAAAAGAUUAAAAAUUUGACCAAUAAAACAGUUGCCAUAAAGAUCUUUCUUCUUUUAUUAACCGCAACAAAAUUUGGGAUACUCUAUAUUAAAUAAAAAAACUCAAGAACAUAUCUAGUAGCAUUUGUUGAUUGAAAAUCAAUUCAACUUCAAUGACAAAUUAUAACAACCUUAAUCGAUUUGAAAAGACAAAGCAAAUCAACAAUUUCAGAUCCAUUCAUCUCUGAUCAGCUUGCUUUACAAAAUCCACUAGCGAGGAGGCCAGCGGCUUUUCAUUCAACGGUACUUGAUUAACCCAAUAUCCGUAGCCUUGCUGCAGAAGUAUCUUGUGUAACAGAUUACUGAAGGCAAACGUUGUAAGAAAUCGUACUGUUUUAGAAUUUUGUGUUUCUUCAUAGAAUUGAUUAGCUACACUUAAUAUUAGAAUCUUAUAAAAUUUGAUAACAUGAUCAAAACAAUAAUUAUCUAAUAGAACGAUUGAAAAUUUUUGUUGUUCAAUGUGUAGAAUAAAUUGACAAGCUGUGCAAUUAAGUUGCUUAAACACACACCCCAUGUAAAUUCGUGAUUCGUCUUCCUUGUUAUACUUUCAUCAAAUUAGUUGAUCUAUCUUCUCACAAUAUUGAAAGGCGCCCAUUUUUGAAGAUCAAAUAAUGUUUUCAUAAAUAUCUAUAAAUGAAAGAAGGCAUGUGUUCCAAGAUAAUAAAUUUUGAGGUGCUGAAUUUUGAGGGUUUAUUAUAAGGUGUUGGGUCUUAGCAGCGCAACUAACCAAAGUUUGAAGGGAGAGAGAAGGGGGGGGGGGAGGAGGGGAGAAGGGAGAUAAAAGGUAUCGAGCUUAAAUCUAUACUCUUGAGUUGAUUACUAUUCUUGUGGACAAAUGGUUUCCUAUAUGUACGCAAAGGAGCUUGUGGAUUAUUGUUCACAAGAUUUCAUCCACCCCUUUUAGGGUUAUCUUAAUAAUUUAAACUAUUUUUGUUAAAUAGCUUAAGUAAAUUGUACAAAAAUACAAUGUGCGGGUUGGUGAAAAAUGGCCUUUGCAACUUACAUGCACUAAUAUAAUUUUUGUGCAUGUGUCAAUGCAUUAUUAGAGGUUAGUAUUCAUGCAGAAUUACUUGUUUGCCCUUAAAUGUGAUUGGUAAGUUGUCUAUGUAGGCAUUUUUUUAAAAAAAAUUUUUCUUUUAUGGGGUUAAUACCACUUUGUUCCCCCAAACUUUGGACGAUUACCCACUUCAGUCCCUAAACUUCAAAAUGGAACACUUAAGUCCCUAAACUUAUAAAUAGCUCCACGUAAGGAAAAUGGUUAACAAAUCCUGAAUGCCGUUGAUGGUCAAAGUGUCCCAUUUUAUAAGGGUUUAGGGAUUUAAGUGUCCCAUUUUAUAAGUUUAGGGACUUAAGUGGGAGGUAUUUAUAAGUUCAGGGACUUAAGUGUCUCAUUUUGAAGUUUAGGGAUUGAAGUGGGUAAUCGUCCAAAGUUUGGAGGGACAAAGUGAAAUUAACACUCUUUUAUGCUAUAGGGGAAGGGAAGAGUCCAACUAGCCUUGUAUUGGACUGGACCUCCAGACUAUAUAUGAUAGAUAGUUUUUGUGGAUGCAAACUAAUCAUUCAAAGUUUUUGAGACGCAAUUAGUUUGAACUAGGGAAGUUAUUUAUUUUGCUAUCCAUUACAUAUGUAACUGUUCUGCUUCAAAUUCUUCCAUUUCACUAAGCUGAAAUGCAGGCUUGUUAAUUUUUUUUUUGCCCUUUUAAGUUGACUAAAUUUUCUGCAUUGCCCUCAUACCCAUUCUCCUACUUUGUCUCUUUCUGCUUUUGUGUAUUUGAAUCACGCUUUUGUGUUCUUUAAUUUUUCCUCUUUUUUUUUUAAGUUUGGUGUAGCUAUUUGUCGUUCUUUUUUACAGGGUUUACAUGUAUUGUAAAUCCAGCUUUUGCAAGAGAUAGAUUCAACUUCCUAUUUUUGUAACUCUGACAUUUAUUUAGGUUUAUGAUCUUUGCAUUGGUUGUUUUGGGCCUUACAGGCUUAUAAGCUUCUAAUUGGCUUGAUUGAGGGGUAUUGUGGCCCUAAUUGAGUAUAUUUACUAGCCGAUAAAUUGUAGGUAAAAAUGGAGUUGAAUUGAGAUAUAUUUGGUAUUAAAUGGUAGGUUGGAAAUGUGUUAAAUUAAGGGGUAAUGCUGUCCCAUUUUUGGAGGGUAUUUGAUUGAUUUGAAUUUGAGUGAUCUUGAUUCAUUUUAUGGCAAUUUUUGUGAAUUGGAAGUUGGACUGUUAAGAGUCCAUAUUAGUGACGUUUCUAAACUUUGUUUAAGUUAAUUCAUCCUUGUUUUGGCCUGUACAUGAUUAGUAUAGACUAGUCUCAUGUUAAGUGGGGAUUUCUAGCCCUAAUUGUGAUUAGUGAUGGUCAUAUGCAAAGGUCGGUUCAAGAAGAGUAAUUUCAGUUUUUUUCCCUGUUUCUGGACUGAACUUGGACUGCCAUUUUCUCUGUACUGCAGACCGAAUCAACUUUUGUUCAAAACAUGAAACUUGUAGAUAUAUGAGUUAACUACCUACCUACAAAAUUUCAGAUUGUUUGGAUCUCUGUAGCCUGUGAAAUGACUGAAUUACCCCUGACUGUUCAUAGACCCUGUUUUGCGGACAGUUUUCUGUCCUCUCCUAGAUUUCGAUAUUUGACCCUGGAAUUGUACGUUUUGACUUUGGAAGUCUUCAUAAGAAAUGUUGGUAUAUGUCUUAGCUUCGUAACGCCAUAAGAUUCGUUUUGAUCGGAUAAGCGUAGCUUUACUUGUGAUUAAAAUGCCAAAAGGCAAUAGAAGCUUGUUAAUAUUAGAAUUUCCUUUGCUUGACUUGAUAUUUGUAAUUUAGGGCUUCGACUUGAGCAAGGCCAUGAGGUACGAUGGAUGGUUCCUGAGCUGUGUUUGGGUGAGUGAUCUCUCAACUAUUUCCCAACAGUGAUUUUGAAAUAAUUCCUGCAUUGAUUACACGAUUGCAUAUCAUUGUGUUUGUGUGUGUGCCAUGACAUUUUGGCUCCGAUGAGUUCUUGGGAAAAUCUUGUGCUUAGAACCAACGUCUCUCCUCCUGUAUACGCAUUCUUUGGAGCUCGAUGGCUCCUUAUUUCUGGUUAAUUGGUACUUGAUCUAAGGGAGCGUUGGAUAUUUAAGUACAAGGAUUUCACUGGCUCCAAAGAGCAAAAUACGCAUCUUGGAUCACUGAUUCAUGACAUCAUUUACAUGCAUUAUUGUAAAGUUUAUUUGAUUACUGAGUUUAAUGUUCACUCACUGAGCUUUUAGCUCAUCCCAAAUGUUUUUCUUUUCCCCAGAGGGAUCGAGGCAAAGGAAACGCUUGUAUUACGUUAUGUGUAUGACCGGAUGGCAUGUAACUUGUAUAGUUUAGAUUUGGAUUCGUUUGUGUAAUUGUUGGGUUAGGGUGACUGUUUGAAAUUGGAAUGGAUGGAUUAUACCUUGUACGGUUUGAAUUUGGAUUGCCUCUUGUGUAAUAGCUUAGUAGUAGGGUUUGUAAUGAAUGAUUGGACUUGAAUGGAUGUACGUGUACAUUCCGCUGCGUUUGUGAUAUGUAAUUCUUGGAGAAUUUGAUGUAUAUAUUUGAGAUUUAUAUUGUAGUUUAUUGGAGAACUGUAGUGAUUGACCGAGUCCUGGCGAGAGUUAGGCAGGCGUCCCGGCGAACCCUCUGGUUCGCCUUAGGGGGAGGUGGGGUCGUCACAAGUGGUAUCAAAGCUUAGGCUUCAGAUCUCUGUAGCGUAUCCUAGGCUUAAAGUUUAGGAUGCCUGACUAUGAGAUUAAUUUGAAUAUUAUGUGAACAAGGAUCCAUUGUAUCUUAGGGGUUAAAGGAAUUGAUUAUUUGGGAGUUCUUAUUUGGGACUUGCAGAAGAAACUGAGGAUUUAGGUGAUGUUAUAUUGAAGGAAGAUAUGAGAUAAGAGAUUUGCAAUGAAAGACUGGACGAAUUUGAAUUAUCAGUAUAUUUGUAAGUGUGGAAAGAAUUGAGAUAAUUAUUAGUAUUGGCUAUGGAGGAUAAGAGACCGAGAUUUGAUAGUCAAACACCACGUAUGAUGAUUUUGAACCAAGAUAAAAGUACAAAAGAAUAAAAUGCAUUUUCCGCCCACAUACCUUCUAAAGAAAUUUUGCUUUGGGAUUUUAAAGAAAAACUAGGAUGUACUAGUUUUAUUUGUAAGCGAUGAGUGGAAAUAAGAUAUAUAUAUUUUAAAUAUGUGUAAUUUUCCGAUUUUGGUAAAAAGGUGAAUUUUACUUGAAUUUCAAACUUGAAAACUUGUGAAUAACUGAUGAGUUGUUGUAUUUUGUAUAUGAUGGGUUAAUACAAGGUUAACAUUUUCUAAACUAAGUUUUCCCUCUUGAUUGUAUAUUGGUGUAUUCUCACACUUGAAUUUGUCCAUGCUUUAUACGAAGAAAAAUAUAUAUAUAUCCUGAGUUUUCGAAAGAAUGGCAAGCUUAUGUUUAAUAAUGUGAAUCCUGAACUUGAUAAGAUUUCUGAUUAUUUUAAAUACUCUUCUUAUGUUUUAAAAAUUCUUGACUUUCAAGAAGAGUGAGCCAAUUUUUUAAAAUGUACGGACUGAGGGACUUUGAGAUAUAGAGUGACUGUAUUCAAGAGUACGAAGUUAGUGAGCCUAUUUGACCUGGUUUCCAUUUGACACGUAAGUUAGCAAGUUGUACUCAUUUCUUGGGUUUGAACUUGGAACUUGAGACUUUACUAUGGAACCUAAGAUUGGUUAUUCUUGGAGAUGAUAGUGCUUUUGCUGGUCGCUUGUUUAUUACAGAUUUUGAACUCCGAAUGGAUAAUCUUGGUUUCAGCUUGCGUUAUGGAUUGAUUGGAUCUACUUUCGUAAGGGUAUGUGAUUUGAUUGAAAUUAGCAAUAAUUGGACCCUUUGGUUUAACUAUAGCCUUAGAAAGGGUAGUGCACGCUGUGAGGCUUUGGUAUCCUGCUUACAUAUGCUUUUAUCUGUUGUGACACUUAAUUGCCUAUAUACAAUAUCUGACAUAAUUUUGUGACUUUGAGCUCGUGCUAUAAUUUUGAUACCUGUAAAGAAUCAUGUCCUGAUUCAAAAAAUUUUAUAACUUGUAUAUGUAUUAAGCUCUUUUCUGCUUAAUUAUGCCUUGUCCUGUGAUUAUAGACUUUUAUUAAGUAGGGUAGCAGGAAUGAGAAAAGGGGACCGUGGCCGAGGGCUUAGACAACCCUGUACUUGUGAGACAAAUUUAAUAGGUCCCUAGUACUGAAUAUGAGUCGAAAAUAAAUCCGAAAAUCAGAUCUACUAGUGUAUAAUGGAUUAACCUAGUCGGAAACUUGAUGAGAUUUUCUUGUGCGCAACAUAUGUUAUGAUUGGUUCUGUGCCAAUAUUUCAAUCUUAGGAAGUCUGAACUCCGAAAGUAUUGCAUUGGGUUGGUAAGAGAACUCGAACUGUCUGAAACCGAUUAGACUGAGCUUACUUGAGACUUGAACCUGUUUAGGCUAGUGUGCCCUUACGUACCCUUAAUGGACCUAAUUUGACUGAAUAUAUGGAAUGUGAUCAGUAUGUAACCUGAAUGUGGACUUGAAUUUUGUGACUGUUUAAGAAUGUGAAUUGUCGGACAGAGGCUAGGCCAGGGUGUUCUUACUCGCACUCAUGAUCCUUGAACUUGAACUUAUGUUUUUAUUCAUACUCGUGUACCAUGAAUCUGAAGUAAUUGGUUCUGCUUUAACCCUACUCUUGAACUCAUUCGUACUUGUGUGGUUGUGGACCGGCUACUACUCUUCUGUAGCGGUUGAACUGAACCUCUCUGGUGGGGCAUUGCCUGUUGUGUUGUCCAGCACCGCCAGGGACAAAUACUUGAACUGAGGCUUUUGGUGAAGUUUAGCCGUUGUGCUAACUUGUUGUGUUGUCCAGCACCACCAGGGCCAACUUACUGAACUGAAAUUCUUUGGUGAAGCAUAGCCGUUGUGCUAGCUUGUUGUGUUGUCCAGCACCACCAGGGAUGAAUUUUUCGAUUUGAAGCUUCGCUAUAUCCUGAAUUUCUUCCAAAUAUCUGGGACUUUACGUCCGACUUCAAGCCUUUUGCCUGUUUUAUCUGGUUACGCAAUUAACUCCCUAUUGGACCAUGACUAUUUGAUAGGUUGGAUUGGCGUGAUAUGUAGUACUUGAACCUGAUAAGUGGUUAUUAAAUAAGCCAUGCUUUACUGGAUCAUGAAGUACGAUAAGUGAGAUUAGAAUGAUUCCUAGUAUUUGACCGACUUUGGGGAAAACAAAUUGGACCUGGUGAAUACAAGUUGGAGUAGAUUGAAUCCUAAUGCUUGAUUGGUUUCUAAGCGAUAUCUUGACCGGUUAUAUCUGAGUGGGAAUGUCGAGGACAACAUUUUUUUAAGGGGGGAAGAUUGUGACGCCCAGAAAAAAAUAGGGUUUUCAUUUUUUUUGUAUAUUUUGUUGGACGAGCGGAGUAAUACAGUUUUCAACUCGGAAAAGAAAAGAAAAGUUUCAAAAAAUGGCAGUGGCCAAAUCCGGCCUGAAAUCCGGCCAGUUUCUGGCCGGAUUGCCGUGCAGUUUUGAAAAAAUUUUGAUCAGCCUCGGCCUUGUAUCCGGUCGGAUUGUGACGUGUCACAGCCGGUCAGAAGGUUUGACCGGCUGUUUCUUUCAUAAAUAUCUUGUUUUGGUUGGCUUUUGUCUUUAUUUUUGCUGCUGCUCAACCGAGGCCUUUGGGGAAGAAAACCUCUUCAUUUUUUCCAACUUCAAUUUCUACCAAAAUCUUGUGAUUUCACCGAUGGUUUUGGAAGCUACUUCACACAAGGGUGCACUAUGGUCGUUUAAAGCUUUUGAUGGAUUGGUUUUGAAGGGGAAGCUUUAGUUUGAUAGCUCUCUUGAAUUUGAGGUAAGUUGGUUAUACAAGUUUCUUUUGUUCUAGUAUUGGUUAAUUAAUGGUUUGUAGUGGCCAUGUGUGGUAUUUCAUGGGUUGAAGGAAGUUGUGGUGAAUUUCUGAUUUAUUGGGUAUUUUUCUAAUUUAAUAUGAUUCUGGUUAGUUGGUCUUGAAUUGAUGGAUUGUUAUGGUGUUAAAUGGACUCUUGAUACGUUAAUUGCGGAAAAUUUCCGCCUAUGGUAUAAUUUUCAAUUUCUAGGGUUUCAUUUGGGGAAUUUUCUGGUUAUAUAUUAUAAUCAUGGAUUGGCCUUGAAUUGAUAGCUCUAAAUGGUGUAAAAAUGGAGCUUGUAUACGUUGGAUACGAUUGUGCGGAAAAUUUCUGAUUUGUGGGGUGAAUUUCCGGUUUCUAGGGUUUCGAUUUGGGAAUUUUCAAUGGUUGGCUUAUAAGCUUCUAAUUGGCUUGAUUGAGGGGUAUUGUGGCCCUAAUUGAGUAUAUUUACUAGCCGAUAAAUUGUAGGUAAAAAUGGAGUUGAAUUGAGAUAUAUUUGGUAUUAAAUGGUAGGUUGGAAAUGUGUUAAAUUAAGGGGUAAUGCUGUCCCAUUUUUGGAGGGUAUUUGAUUGAUUUGAAUUUGAGUGAUCUUGAUUCAUUUUAUGGCAAUUUUUGUGAAUUGGAAGUUGGACUGUUAAGAGUCCAUAUUAGUGACGUUUCUAAACUUUGUUUAAGUUAAUUCAUCCUUGUUUUGGCCUGUACAUGAUUAGUAUAGACUAGUCUCAUGUUAAGUGGGGAUUUCUAGCCCUAAUUGUGAUUAGUGAUGGUCAUAUGCAAAGGUCGGUUCAAGAAGAGUAAUUUCAGUUUUUUUCCCUGUUUCUGGACUGAACUUGGACUGCCAUUUUCUCUGUACUGCAGACCGAAUCAACUUUUGUUCAAAACAUGAAACUUGUAGAUAUAUGAGUUAACUACCUACCUACAAAAUUUCAGAUUGUUUGGAUCUCUGUAGCCUGUGAAAUGAUUGAAUUACCCCUGACUAUUCAUAGACCCUGUUUUGCGGACAGUUUUCUGUCCUCUCCUAGAUUUCGAUAUUUGACCCUGGAAUUGUACGUUUUGACUUUGGAAGUCUUCAUAAGAAAUGUUGGUAUAUGUCUUAGCUUCGUAACGCCAUAAGAUUCGUUUUGAUCGGAUAAGCGUAGCUUUACUUGUGAUUAAAAUGCCAAAAGGCAAUAGAAGCUUGUUAAUAUUAGAAUUUCCUUUGCUUGACUUGAUAUUUGUAAUUUAGGGCUUCGACUUGAGCAAGGCCAUGAGGUACGAUGGAUGGUUCCUGAGCUGUGUUUGGGUGAGUGAUCUCUCAACUAUUUCCCAACAGUGAUUUUGAAAUAAUUCCUGCAUUGAUUACACGAUUGCAUAUCAUUGUGUUUGUGUGUGUGCCAUGACAUUUUGGCUCCGAUGAGUUCUUGGGAAAAUCUUGUGCUUAGAACCAACGUCUCCCCUCCUGUAUACGCAUUCUUUGGAGCUCGAUGGCUCCUUAUUUCUGGUUAAUUGGUACUUGAUCUAAGGGAGCGUUGGAUAUUUAAGUACAAGGAUUUCACUGGCUCCAAAGAGCAAAAUACGCAUCUUGGAUCACUGAUUCAUGACAUCAUUUACAUGCAUUAUUGUAAAGUUUAUUUGAUUACUGAGUUUAAUGUUCACUCGCUGAGCUUUUAGCUUACCCCAAAUGGUUUUCUUUUCCCCAGAGGGAUCGAGGCAAAGGAAACGCUUGUAUUACGUUAUAUGUAUGACCGGAUGACAUGUAACUUAUAUAGUUUAGAUUUGGAUUCGUUUGUGUAAUUGUUGGGUUAGGGUGACUGUUUGAAAUUGGAAUGGAUGGAUUAUACCUUGUACGGUUUGAAUUUGGAUUGCCUCUUGUGUAAUAGCUUAGUAAUAGGGUUUGUAAUGAAUGAUUGGACUUGAAUGGAUGUACGUGUACAUUCCGCUGCGUUUGUGAUAUGUAAUUCUUGGAGAAUUUGAUGUAUAUAUUUGAGAUUUAUGUUGUAGUUUAUUGGAGAACUAUAGUGAUUGAUCGAGUCCUGGCGAGAGUUAGGUAGGCGGCCCGGCGAACCCUCUGGUUCGCCUUAGGGGGAGGUGGGGUCGUCACAUAUUUCUUAUCUUAUCUUAUAAGAUAUAAGACCGUGUUUAGGACCAGUGUCAACUGCUUGUUUGUAGGGUUGUUUUUGUGAUACGAAAUGGAAAAUUAGCAAUACCCUUCAUGUAUCAAUCAAAGUUCAAUACUGAUUUUGAAACUUUAAGAUGUUCUAAUCUGAGUUUUUGAUUCAAGUGAAGAAGUUUGAGAGCUAGCGCGAGUUCUUGAAGGUCACAGUUGGUUGGUUUAAUUGUUUGGCAAGUUAGGUUAUUUGGGGUUUAAUCGUCAAUUUUCCUUGCUAAUUUAGUUGUUUAUUUACCUUAAUUACUUCGGCGAAGUUGUGUCAAUUGGAAGGCCGACUUCUUUAGUGUUAGUUUAGGAAAAUAAGUGAUUCCAAAUCACAUUAGGUUUUCUAGACAAUUCUAAAUUACAUUAGGUUUUGAGUCCAUGUAAGGCUAUAAAUAGCCAAACACUUUCAUCAUUUGAGUAGUUUGAAUAUAUCAGAAUUUUGUGUGUUAAACACCUUUUCUCUUGUCCAAGAGAGUUUCUUUUGAAUACUUGAGAAUUACUUGAGAGUAUUCAACUACCUUAUCAAUCAAGUAUACACCUUGGUUGUGGCGCUCUUCUACCUUUAACAUUGGUUCACUAAAUCAUUCGAUUAUGGGUUGAAAUUCAAUUCAAGACUCUCAAUUCUAGGGUUCAUAAUGAACUCGUAUCCCACACAGUCUGGAUUGCGAACCUUCUAAACCCUAGGAUUACGAACCUUGUAUCAAAUUCAAAACAUCUCAAUUACAUUUUCUCACCUCGUAUCACCCAACUCACCCCUUCCUCUUAACUCUUAUUAUAAUGUUAAACAACUAAGGUAUCUGAAUUUAUUUUUUCAGCAAAAAUAGAAAGGCAGCAAUGCCAUUUUAGUCAUUCCUAGAUAAAUUACUUUUCCAAUAUUUGAUCAGCCUUCAUGGGGCAAUGCAUUGCUCUUAAGCUUUAGAGUGGUACAUGUGAUUAUUUCGCAAGUUUAGGAGGUAAACCAUAAUUAAUCCUAAAUCAUUUUUUACCAGAUAUGCAAAUCAUUACGUUCAUUAGCAAAAAAAAAGAACCCAAAUAUAUUUGUCUUUACACCAUAAAAUCUAAGGAUUUUAGUAGGAUCACAAACAUUGUAAUUUUGUAAGUUACAAACAUAUGUAAAACGCUCUUAAUCAUUGCUUGUAUCGACUAAGGUUUUAAAGAUUUGUAAAAGAGUAUAAAAAAUUAGGACAAAUCUUUCAUGCCCUGAUAAUGUAUACACUAACGGGUCUAAAUGUAUGCUACAUAUACAAAAAUUUGAUGUUCAAUUCAAAUUGAAAUGAUAUGUCAUGCAUCCAAACCCAUUAAUAUAUAUGUUGAUAGCAUAAAAAAGAUUAAUUCUAAAAAGUAGGGGUUGAAAUGUCUAAAAUAUAGGGAUAAAAAGAUGAAAUAGCGGUGAACUUGAGAAAAAUAGUGAUUAAAAGUAGUUGUCAAAAUCAAUUUUUAAAAUCAUAGCAUCUACAACAUCCCUAUUCCCCAACAUCUAAAUCCAACAAUCCCAAAACUUUCCCUUCAGAUCAAUUUUACUACCAAAUAGAGUUCCCACAACUAGUUCGAAUACAAAGAUAAAAGAGUGAGAUGAGUGGUAAAGUAUGAGAAAUUGCAAAUAAAAAAUCCUAGAUUCAAAACCUUCCAUUUAUAAGGGGGGAGGGAGGGGGUGAGAGGGGGAGAGAGAGAGAGAGGGAUUAAUUAUCUUUUAGUCCCCUGUAGUUUAGUGCUUUACCCCAUAGUCUCCUCAUGGUUUAAAAAUGUAUAUAUAAACUUCUCACAAUUUGGGUUGAAGUAUCACCAUUAUUUUUCUGUUAAAACUAACGAUCAAUAGUAAAAAACUAAAAUCAAACUAAUAAAUUGACAAAUUCACCAAAUACAAAAGAGAUAGAGGGGAAAUAAAAAAUAAAUACAUAAGAAACAAAAAAAGAUAAAGUAGAAAUAUAAAACAAAUAAAUAAGAAAUGAAAAAUACCAAUUCUUUUUUGACUACCAAUAUCAUUAUAGGUUUCUAAACCAAAUCUUUAAUGGUAUUUUCUAUUUCUUAGUUAUCUAUUUUUAUUUCAAUUUCUUCAUUUUUAUGUUUGAAAGAAAAAAGGCAGUAAUGAAAGGGUAAAUUUAUCAAUUUAUUAGUUUGAUUUUGAUUUUUUAUUAUUAACCCAAACUAUGAGAGAUUUAUAUAUAAGUUUUUAAAAUAUGGGGGUUAUAUAGUAAAAUACUAAACUACAAAUAGUAAAAGGAAUUUACCCAAAAUAAUUUAAAAAAAAGAACGAAAAAGAAUUGUGACAUGCUUAAAUCAUCAAAUACUACUUUCCAUAUAUGACUUAUCACGUUAAAACGAGAAUCUCUAAUGUGUGGAAAUGAACUCAAUGCCAUUUUCCCUUCGGACUUGCACCACUCCCAUAAACCGCUACAUCCUUACAUCCACUCCCAGAUUAGUAGUCAAUCAGAAUUUGCGCAACGCUGAAUCUUCUGUUAUAAAGUUUUCGAGCAACCGAAACAGUAGUUUCGAUGCAAAUUCAAAAGAACCGAGCAUAAGCUCAGGUAUAUGCAGCAGAAGAGGAGCAAUUGGCAUUGGUCUUUGCUUCAGUUUGGUUGAGUUCAUCCUACAGCCGGAACCAACUGCUGCUGCAGAAGCCACCCCCUGUGAAUUCACUGAAACCCCUUCAGGACUUGCAUUCUGUGACAAGGUUUCGGGCGACGGCCCUCAAGCUGAAAAGGGACAACUCAUUAAGGUAAGUUCAAGAUUGUUGAUGAAUAUUCCAUCAAUAAAGUCAUGUACAGAGUCAAAUUCUGUUUUACUGGUAGUUUUCUGAACCCAGUAAUCUUCUUAUUUCUGUUUCUUAGUUUGGCUGCUUAUCUGUUGUUGUUAAUUGACUGAGUUGAUUGUUCGAAAAUUGGUGAGUGUUUUAGAAUGCUUUUGAGGAUUUUAAGUGUUAGACUAUCAAUUUUGUAAUUUCCAGUCACCUUAAUUCAUCAAAGAAAAGGAAAUGUACACCAGUUGGGAAGUGUAGUUAGAAAUCCCUUUGGAAAAUUAAGAAAAGGGUUUUGAAGAAUUGUUAAAAUCUUUCUGCUCAAUUUGAUUCCUUUCCACUUGUACUGAAAGAAUUGUUUUCAACAAGAGUAAAGAAAUACUCUAAAACCAAUUGAUAAGAAUAGAACAGAAUGGCUUAGAUGCUGCACAGAUGAUUUCUUGAAUGUUGAAAAUGAUUUUAUCGAAUUCUAUUCGGUGAAUAAAAAUAGUAAAGAGACGGUGAAGAGAUUGAUUUUUUGCUGUUGAUGCCUUUCAUGCCGGGGUAACAUGUCAAAUCACCAAUGCUUCGAGAAAAUGAUGCACCAUACGCACUAAAGUGGUUAAUGUGACCAACUUUCUACAAGUUUCUUACUAACGAAAUUUAUGCAGGCACAUUACACAGGGAAAUUGGUGAAUGGGACAGUCUUUGAUAGCAGUUACAAUCGGGGAAAGCCUCUUACAUUUCGUGUUGGUGUUGGUGAGGUAAGUACAUAUUCACAGAUUCCGAUGGUCAUGGGGAUCACAGAACUGUUUCUCUUUAAUUGUAUGCUUAUAACAGUAUAAAACUUGACUGUUAGUUAUAGUGGUUAUCAUUGAUUAGCAAAAUUAGUUAAGAAUCUACCACUUACUUUAAACAGUGCUAAGGGAGAACCAGAACUAACUUAACAUAUAAAACUGCCAGGACAUUUUAAGCGAUCUUAGAUAGAACUAGCUCCACGUGGUCCUCAGCUUGCUGGUUUCCAAAUAACUUGUUAUGGUAAUGUUCUACUCCUAAACUUGUACAAGCAAAGGUUGAUAAGGUUAUGAUAACCGAUGAACUUGCUAGAAGUACAUAAUCAACCAAUUAUGGGUUCGACUACUUUUUCAGCUUGAGUCCUUCAGGCCACUUAUUACAUCAAGAUUUGACUGAGGUUUUAGGUUAUUCUUGAUAAAUGAGAUCAUACCACAAAAUGCAGAAGGUUAGCCAUGGUCCUUCCUUCAAGUGAUAUGGCUGUAUGACAAUAGCUAAAUUGGGACUUGAGGUUGCACUUGAGUUUUUUCAAACAAAAAGUUGCAGUUUUUAUAUAUUAAGCCACGUAGUCCUACCGGUUUCCUAGCAUUAUCUAGCCAGAUAGAAGGCUGAAAAUGUACUUAUAAAUUGGUGUCAAAGAAGAACUACUUAUAAAAUUUUGGAGGGUGUGUUUAUUGUAAAGCCACCCGAACUUAAAUUCUGAACUUAAAAUCAGCUUCUGCUCAGUUAAAUUGGUGUGAUGUGUAUUCAGUAUUUUAUGAAUCCAUACAGAUCAGUUUGCAAACAGGUCCAAGUUACACUGCCAUUCAUUCAACUUGAACUGCAGACUUAACUCAGAACGAAUAAACUGUUGAACUCUGAAAUGGAAAUUGAGUUAAUAUUCAGGGACAAAUGCAUUUCCAUUUUGUCUUCCACUCUUCCUUCUACAGCAUCUGUAUGUUGUGUGAGGUUCUGUACUGCUGUGGUACUAGUUCUAACUUGUUUUUGACACAGACCUGGAGCUGCACUUCAUGGUAUCCAUAAGAGAUACCCGAAUGUAAUACCCAACUAUCAGUCAAAAUUUUUGGACACCAUGUCAUUAAGCUGUAUAUUGUGCAUUUUCUUAUUAUACAAGGGAGGGGAUGGGGUAAGGAAGACUUGCAUUUAUCUUGCUGGUAAUCUCAUAAAUACAGUAUACUUGAGGACACAUUGACAAAGAAAAGAAAUUACUGUGAUUUUGGUUUUUUUUUAUCUAACAUGGCAAUUAAGGAAGACUUGUAUUUAUCUUGCUGGUAAUCUCAUAAAUACAGUAUACUUGAGGACACAUUGACAAAGAAAAGAAAUUACUGUGAUUUUGGUUUUUUUUAUCUAACAUGGCAAUCUCUAAUUUUUACAAUAUGUUCUUAAAACUGUUCUAAACAAAAAACCAUAACAAUAGAGUCCUAGCUUUGAAAGCUCUGCAGUCUUCAUUUACUCAUUCAACUCUAGGUCGUUCCUGGAAAACAUUAAGUAUUACAUCAACUUUUGAUGCCACUCAAGUAUUUUCAAUCUAAAAUAGCUCAUCUAUGUUGAUCAACCUUGUUAUCACAUCCUUUGCCUUGAGUUCUCUUGCCAAAUCAGUAACAAGGGACUGAUUAAGAUAAACAUAUUUUAUGGGCCUGCAAAAUGCAUGCCCCAGGAUUUUGUAGGGGCAACAAAUUAAGAUGCCUUUUACUAUAACUGGAGGCUAACUUUCAGCCAGAAUAUCUUGGCUUCCCUUUUUUCCGAGGAGAUUAUUAAACUCCCUUAGUUGCUCGUGUCAGUGACUCUUUGAAUUUACACAUGUAACAGUCUUACUGAUUAUCAGAAAUAACUGGAUGCUGAUCACAAACAUGUUCCUUUCUGAUGCUCAUCUAGUUGACAUGAAAUCCAUUCUCUAUGUUAAUUUAGGUAAUCAAAGGCUGGGAUCAGGGCAUUCUAGGUGGUGAUGGGGUUCCCCCGAUGUUGACUGGUAUGAAUACAGUUACUCUGGUACUGUUGUCCAAUAUAUCAAGCAUCAUCUAACAACUCACUGAUAGCAAUAUCUCAUACAGGAGGUAAAAGGACCCUGAAAAUUCCUCCAGAACUUGCAUAUGGUGCAAGAGGCGCUGGCUGUAGAGGUGGUAAGUAACUAUCACUUCCAUCUAAAUAGCUGCAUAGUCCAUGGAACCUGCAUAUUCCUGAUUGGCAAUUGAUGGUUCCAUAAUAUAUUGGAGAAUAUUCUCUGAUCUAUUUUCUUGAUUUUUGUAGGUACUUGUAUUAUUCCCCCAAACUCUGUUCUUCUGUUUGAUGUUGAGUUCGUUGGAAAGGCUUAGCAAAUGAGCAGUAUAUGCUCAUACUCCAACACAGAAUCUUUUGAAACUUGUUAUCUUUUCUGCUUUUAAAGUGUUUUCGAAGGAUGAUGAAGGAUGAUAUAUUACUUUGCUUCUUUAUUUCUGUUAUGGAGGUCCUGAGAUAUCCUGCUACAAGAUUUUCCAAUUUAGGGGGAAAAUAAUGAAAAAGUUACCCGCUGAAGCCAGUUGACAUGGUGCAUGAACGGAGAUUCAUAAAAUACUUAUCCUUUUACUCAAAUUUCCAUUGAAUUGCACUAAUAUUUCCAUGAUUACGGCAAACUUUAGAACAGUCUUUAUGUGUGAGACUCGAACCCCCAUCCCAUAUUGGAAGAAAGGAAAGGAAAGGAAUAGUUAUUAGCUUGGGUCCAAAGGCUACUAAAAAAUUUGGGUUUGUAAAUUUUGUCCAAAAGUUGCUUGGGCCAGUCUUUGGCACCGGGUCAUGACAAAUGGUAUCAGAGUGGCCUUACAUAUUGCGUGGGGUGAGCCUAGUUUAAUGUAUUAUGGUUCCGACUACGCAAAACCAUCAAGGUGAACAUAGACUAGUGUGUUAUAGUUUCGAUUUCACAAGGAAGUGCAAGGAACUGUGUGCCAUGUACAAGACAAGUGUGUAGUUUGUUAUGGUUCUGACCAUGUAAGAUCACGCGAGGUGAAUCUAGGCUAAUGUGUUAUGAUUCCAAUUGUGCAAGAAAGUGCAAGGAAACGCAUGCCAUGUACGGGCCAAUGUGUAGUGUGGUAUGGUUCUGACUAUGCAAGACCACACGAGGUGAACCUAGAUUAGUAUGUUAUACUUUCGACUACACAAGGAUGUACAAAAUGCAUGCCACGUACGGGGCCAAUGUGUAGUGUGUAUGGUUCUGACUAUGCAAGACCAUUCGAGGUGAACCUAAACUAGUGUGUUAUGGUUCCGACUUCACAAGGAAGUGCAAUGAACUGCAUGCUACGUACAAGACAAGUGUGUAGUUUGCUAUGGUUCCGACUAUGUAAGAUCACACGAAGUGAAUCUAGGCUAGUAUAUUAUGAUUCCAAUUAUGCAAGAAAGUGCAAGGAAAUGCAUGCCAUGUACGGGGUCAAUGUGUAGUGUGGUAUGGUUCUGACUACGCAAGACCACACGAGAUGAACCUAGACUAGUGUGUUUUGGUUUUGAUUAUGCAAGGAAAUACAAAAUACAUGCCAUGUACGGGGCCAAUGUGUAGUGUGGUAUGGUUCUGACUAUGCAAGACCACACGAGGUGAAUCUAGACUAAUGUGUUAUGGUUCUGACUAUGCAAGGAAGUACAAAGAACUGCGUGCCACAUAUAGGGCCAAUGUGUUAUGUUUCUAACCACGCAAGGAAGUGUAAGGAACUGCAUGCUACGUACAGAAGCCACCUCUAGAGUUCGAGUAUGACUAAGUGGAUGUAUGGGGGCCACCUCCAGAGUCUGAGCUUAAAUGUGAAAUCCCAACUUCCGUCCCACAUCGAAAGAAAGGAAAGAAAAGGAAUAGUUUAUAAGCUUAGGUCCAAAGGUUACUAAAUGACUUGGAUUAACCACUUUGGGUUUGUGGAGUGCAGCUAAAAGUUGUUUGGGCCACCCAUUGGGCUCGGGUCAUGACAAUUUUGGCUCUGAAUUCCAAUAACCAGGAAACUUAUAUUCUAGUCCAGUAAAUUCAAAUUCCGGUUUUUAAAAUUGGGAUGAUUUCAGAAACCUCCCCUAAAUUUGUUAACCGUUCACCUCACUUAAUUUAUGCUGAAUAGUACACAACCAUAUAAGAAGAGUAAAAGUUCAAGGUGUAUUUGAAACUAAUGGGAAAGGCAAGGUUGCUAUUGCAUUUUGGAAGCUAGAAGCCAAUAAUUCUUUGUGCUACAGCUUCUAACGGUAAAAAGCAAUAUCACUCUUGCCUAUUCCUCUAUAUAACUGCAAAAUGAAGCUACAACAGAUGAAGCUAAAGGAAAUGCAAAAAAGGAAGUUAUCAAUUGAACUAACUAGAAACAAAUGCAAAUGGCUUCUUCCAAGCAAUGUAGGUGAAUCAUGAAAUUCACUAACUUCAUUAACAAUGUCAUGAAUACCACCAGUCACCAUCCUACAAUUAUAGAGAUUGCAUAAAGGACAACCAUCCUAUUCAAUGUUUAAUAUGGCAUAUGCAGGACAGUGUCCAAGUCUGAAACAAAUCAUAUAAAACCAGCUCAGUCCAACGCCUCCGGUUUCAAAUAGACCAUUUUUAUGAAUAAGCAAGAAUACACAUUACCAUUUAUAGCUAUUAUAACCAGAGAUCAGGAAAAUAUUGUCAUAAUUUAACACCUUUUCUAUUCUAAUGGUCAUCCACUGCCAACAUCCCCUACCUCAACUUUCAUUCCUGAAAAACAUGUUUGUUCCAUGAUAUUGAAACUAGUACUAAUGAACUGAACUGCAAAUACUAGAAUCCACUUUGAUAAAGCCAAAAAACAAAAUACAUCACACAAAACAUACUAUAAAUGCAUUGUUGUCAUUCUUUCCACUUUAUGCACCAGGUAAUUUAAUCACUUGUCCAAUAAAUAUAAAAACAUGAUCAAUGACAACUAUGUUUAACAUCUGCAACCAAAGAAUAAAAUUUUCAAAGAGUUUACAGCAAAAAUUUGUUAGAGACUAACCUUGCUUGAGAUGUUCUUAUUUCCUUGGAUUUUCCACCUUUUUCGUGGUGAGCAAAUCUCCUCUUCAACUCAACUCUAUCUCUACUUUCCUCAAUAUGGCUGAAGAAGCUAUAUUUCUGUUGAUGUAAUUGACCACAGCACACCUUCCAAUGUCACAUCAAUCAGAAAAGGGCGCCAAAAUGGCGUCCUUUUGUAAUAUCAAAAUUAGCAAUUAAUUUUGCAUCCAAAUUAUCAUUAAAUUAGUUAAUCCUUUGUAUUACCGGUUUAACUAAUUAUGUCAACAUAACUUCGAAAUAUAUGAUAAGUUAUGAGGGUGUUUCCAUCAAAAUUAUCACCAUUGAUGCCGCAAUUGGGGCCCAAUAAUCCGAUAGAGGAGAUGACCGAUAUUUUGCAAACCUCUUAAGGGAGGCGAGUGAGACUGUUAGAAACCUCAAGGAAGGUUGAGCCUUGAGGUUUUUGAAAUUAUCCCUUCAAAAUUUUUGCAGGACAAAAUGUUUACUUGAUAUAUGACAUAUUCGAAGGGCAAAGAUGUGGUUCAAACCAUAUACUGCAUCUGAACAUCUUCUACACCUUAUAAAGACAGCUCUUUUUUUUUCCCCCUUGAUUCAGAGUAACUUCUUUGUUUUGGUACGUGAAUUAUCAUUUUGCUGCUGGAAUACCUCUGCUUGCAUGCUUCAAAUUUGAAGAUUUGGAAAUAAGGCAACUGGAUUUGGUCAUUGAAGUAUAUAUCUAGCUUCAAUUACAAACAUGUGUUAUAUUCUGUCUCUGUUGUUCAAGUGCAACUCCAAGCAAAUACAAUUUUAUUUCCAAUUCAGCAUAUAUUCUGAUUUUCAAAGCAUUUAGGCAAUAGAUUCUUUGUUCUGACUGGUUGGUCAGUGGAUGCAUGCACUUAAGAUGAUUCUUCCCUUUAUAUUUGUUGAUUCCUAUCAGGCUAUACAAGAAUUUCUUGUGCAAUGUCAACUCUUCCUUAUUGAACUUAUAAACACUUGAAGCAUAUAGCGGCAACUUGCUAUCAGCCAAUGUUUUCUAUUGGAUUCUUUUGCCCGAUGUCCUCUACUACUAUGUCAUUUGGCCUCAUCAAGCUUUUAAGGUAUAUAACUAUUUUGAGAUUGAGUUCCGACUUUACUGGAACUAGAAAACAUGUUAAAUGGUUGAUCAGUCCUGCCUUGUAAUUUCACAAGAGGUAACAGCCUUUUUUUCAUAAUUUUUUUGGGGAUUAUUUGCAGAUAUAUUACCUGGGUUCUGCCAAAUUACAAACAUACCAUGUGACGUCAACAAAUUAUUACUCAAACCCCUUGAAUAGCCAAAUGUUUAUCAAAUACCCCCCUCACAUUUUAAAAAUGCUACUUGCAUGUAUCAACAAAAUGUUCUUCUAAGAUCCCCAAAUUACCCCUUUAUAAUCUUGGUAAAUUUACAUUUACCUCUCUUAUGGUUUGCUCAAAUUACAUGCAAAAAUGGUACGAUUUAGCCAUUGUAGCCCAACCAUUUGAGUUGCCAACAUAUUGUGAAAGACUCUGCUCCAGUUGGUCAACUUCUGUUGACCUCUUAAAUUGGAUUAGUGUCAACGCAAUAUUACAAUAUUCCCCCAGAAAAGUUGGGCCAGUUGCAAUUUUGUCCUUGAAAGCAAUUAACAGGAGCUUUACCCCUCAAAACAAUUCCGCCAGUUACUGUCGUCAAAGUUUAGCAAGAAAUUGACCAAUAGCCUCGCAUACUCAUAUAUUUUUAUAUUUGCACUUGAAAACUACUAGUGGAUAUCUUUUGGAUAGAAGUCUACAAAUAUCAUAGACGUGCAGUCAAAUUUUUUUCGCCUUUUGUUUCUUCUUUUCUUUAGCUUCUUGUCAAAUUUCUAUUAUAACUGUCUAGUUUUAUUUUUAGAUUUUGAAAACCUGAUCUAUUUUUAGAUUUUUUUUUUUUUAAAAAAAAAAGAAAACUUGAUCUGUUUUUCAUUCUUAACAAUUGGAUUACAGACCACUAAGUUUAUGUUUAUGAGGUAGCUGCAGUAGCCGUCUGAUCGUCCAACGUGAUUUGAAAUAUAAGGACUUUGUAUUAAAUAAAAAUCUUAUUGCAUCAUGCAAUAUAACUAUUAGGAUUAUAAGUUCUAGUUGCAAUUUUUUAACAAAAAGUUGUAGUACUAUUGUUCUUUUUUCAUCAAAAUUACUCUUUAUUAAAAGAAAUAUUCGUUUCUCCGCUAAAGACGCAAAUUAUACAUUCAAAUAAGUGUUUGUAAAGGGUAUGAAAAGAAAAUAAAAGUGGGGAAAAUGAUAUUAGAAGCAAGUUGAAUUGUUAAAAGUUAAACAUGGUCCAAAAGUCGCAGUGAUAAAAGAAAAAUCCUUGACGUCAAAAAUCAGAUCCCUAUGAAGGCAAAAUACCUAUUAACUGUAUUCAGAAGGGAAAGUAAAACUAAAGUGAGAGUUAAACCUUUUCAAAAUCGCCAUUGAUAAGAGCUGGACAUGGACAAUCUAAGUUACCCAUUUGGAUUGUAUUUUCUGAGGAGUUUUUAGAGAAAAAUUACUAUAGUUUUUUUUUUUUUUUGUAUGUGAUAUAUGUGAAAUAAAAAGGUGAUUGAAAUUGUGUAGAAGGAAUAUUCAAGGAAAACAAUAAAAUUUUUCUGUAGAAAAGCACAAUCCAUAUGGGAAUGAAAAAUUCGCAAAUGGGGAAUUUUUCAAGUAUAACAAAUUUUAGUCCUAAAAUUGUAAAAGAUAUGAUGGUGCUUAAACCCAACUUCUCUCACCUCCACCUACAUUCCAUAGUCUAGUUCCAAACAAAAAUAUUGAAGGUUAGUUUGACAAAAAAAAAAGGAAAAAGAUUCACAAAACCAAAUUACUAUUAAACUAUAUAUAUCAUGUACUUUGAAUAAUUGAAUUAUCUUUUUGGUUUAAAAUCAACUUUUAAUAUCAUGUAUUUUUGUAUAUUCAAUCCAAUUUUGGGAUCAAAUGAAACACGUAUGACAUGAUUUCAUACAUAGGCUGUGCAACAUGUCCACUAAUGUUCACCCCGAAAUCGAACGAAAUGAUCAAAAGUAUACUACUUCAAAAGCUGUGCGGUGAUUUGAAGACCACAAUAAUUUAGUGCCAGAAAUACACAAUAUGAAUAAUUAACUUAGUAGUUAUGAAUAAUAGGAAUUAGAGGUUUUGGGUUCUAACUGAAACAGCAAGUCUUUCUAUACGCACUGAACACUUUCACAAAUUUCUCUCACCAUUAAUGUUUUGUUUCUAUUCAAUUCUUGAUGAACUUCUGCCAACAUAUUUCUAUCUCACCAUCCUAGCAGCUCCCUUAUCUUCAUCCGAAAAGUCCAAACUAUACAAGCCGCUUAUGUAUUUAUGGGAAUCUUUUUAAAAUUGCAUUUGGAAUCUAAACUUAUCCUUAUCAUCUAAUACAUAUAUAUAUAUAUAUAUAUAUAUAUAUAUAUAUAUAUAUAUAUAUAUAUAUAUGUGUGUGUGUGCGCGCGCGCGCACGCGCUUUUACGUGCUUGAUUAUACGAAAAGGUUUUUCUGUUGUAUUUGUCAACUUCUUUUUUUGCAGGUAUAUCAAGGUUUCUUUUCGUUUACAGUUUUCUGCAUUUUUUUUUUCUUUUCAAGAUUCUUAGUGAUGGAUUUUUUAAACCGUUUAAAGAUUUGCUUAUCAUUUUGGUUUAUAAGAAAGUUUUACGAGAUUUGUUCGGAGUUUUAUUACUUGAGGAUCAUGUGGUUAUUUAUCAAUUUUUUAUUCUUAGGUUUAGUAGAUUUCAAAAGUUUACAUGAACUUUAAGAUGGAACCGUGGAAUUUUAAUGUUGGUUGUGGCACAUUGUAUCACAGUUUUAUGACAUUUUGAGUUCCUCAAUUGACAAUUCUAAUUAAUCUUUGCCUCACAAUAUGAAUUAUCUUCAAUCAGAUUUUCACAAUAUGUAUUUUUGCAUAGAAUAGUAGUAGGCCUAUAAUCUUUUUUGUUUUUUCAUACUAGCAGGGAAAUGAUGAGAAUUAAGAAGUACGAAGUGGGAAUGAAGAGGUUAAAUUCACGACUUCUAAAUCUUAGUAUCCCAACAUCAGCUAUUAGACCAAGUUUUUCUUGGCCUUGUUAACGGUAUUUGCACGGUAUUUUGGUUGACUUAUCACGUUUCAUCAUUUACUUACCUUUACUUGUUAACGGCAUUUGCACGUAAAUGUGAUUGCAAUCCAUGCGUGGGGCUAGAGGAUUGAAGGCCCCGGAUCUACCCGUACGAAAGAGGCUUCAAGGUGGGGAUCCUGGGCCUUGUAAUUUGAGGCACUUUCCAGUUGACACAAUUUCAUGGUCUGGAAUUAAAGUUGGUUGACAUAUGGUUCAGAUUAAGCUAGCAACCACUUUAAAAGAAUGGUGUUGUUUAGUGAAGCACAAAAAAAAAGUGAAAAAUGAGGAAACAGGCAUAAAUGGCAUUUACAAGAAGGUCCAAUAUUUAACCACUGAGCUUUGGCUCAGUGGCCACCAAAAAGGGACUAAAGUCCCUCUUUGGACUGUAGGUCAGGAAUUUGAAUCUUAUCUGCAGUGAAAAAAAUGCAAAGGAGGCGCCAAAACAUCCCUUUGGUUUAGUAUGUUCUUAUACCUACUAGCUCCCUUAUACACAACUUCUUUAGACUCCCCUUCUCCCUAAAUUAGGAUAGAUUAAGUUAUAUAAAUGUUAUCGUUGCCGUAAAAAAAAAAAAAGGUCCAGUAUUUAGAAAAAAAAAAUUUUUUUAAACCAAAAAGAAAAAACGGAUUCAAAAGAUGCAUUCUUCAACCAGGAAGCACAGCAGCUUGGAAAGGCUUUGAGUAGGAGAGGGGAGAAAUUGAUGAGACGAAGGAAAGGUGCAACGCUAGUGAAACUGAUGAGGUGAAAUUCACAGUUGGGUUACUGGUUUGAAGUAAUCACCUAAAGACACUCCUUUAUUACUAAAAGAUAUGCUUUUGGGUAUCUAUAAAAUUUGAAAUUUGCUCCAUUUUCGUUGAUUUCAAACAUAAUGAGAUAGAAAAUAUAUGUUAUUUUCACAUGUUUGUCAAUGUUAGAUGGAUGGUGAAGGAUGAGAGUAGUGAUAGAGGUAGACAUGAACCCUAAUUUUGAAUUAACUAAUACUGAUUUUAAGACUAGAUUUUCCUAUUCUUAGAUUGGCCUGAAAAUUAUUUUGGGGUUUCAAUUAGUGUUGCAAGAGAAAGUAUUAGAAAUCUUUUUGGUGCAAUUUAUCAGUUUGUGGUGUUAUAGCCGAGGAGUUUUGUUCAUUUAUUGCAUGCAUGAUGUUGGAUGAGAAUUAGGCUGUUUGCAAGAACUUAUUGCUUUGGCUGGGUGAGGUUAGAGAAGAGAAGAAUCUGUUGGUUUUUCGUUUCUUGUUCUUUUUUUCUUGCUGUCUGACUCCUGAGGGGUCACCUGGUUUACUGGUUAGGUAAAGUGUUAAGGGUUGUAGAAACUUUGCUAAGGCUUUGCUUGGGAUAGUCUUUGCACGAAUUAAAAUCACGAAGCAUAAAUGAUUCUUAUUCUUUUUCUUUCAGUCUAUUUUUUGUUUUAUUCUUCCUUGUACAUUCAUAUUUUUGUUCAUAAACCUUGGUUUAGCAUAAAAUUUUUUUAGAAAGCACAUUUGGCUUAAUUGAAAUCUCAAUUUGUAAAUGGAACACAAUUGUCCCUCUGUGCUACUGUUUAACAAUGGAAAACAUUUUUGAUUUGGCAAUGAAUGAAAAGGAAAUAGUGGGGAUUGUGGUUCCAACUUUCCAUUCCAUGGACAGAUUAUAAAGCAAAUCUUAUUUUGUCUUUUCCAUGCACAAAUCUGUUGUAGCAUUUCUUGAAAGAAUGGCAAAUUCGAAACUGCCUCCAACCAGCCUCAAUAACUAUUGGCAAUCUUUUGCAAGCAAUUUGUAUUCCUUUAUUUAGAUUAGCACUUGGAUGAAUUAUAAAUCAAUGAGUCCAAGUUGUGCAUUUUUUUGGGUACAACCCACAAGUAUCCGCCUCCAUUUUACAGUCUACAACUAAUCCUGUUCGAAUUGCGUCAGACCGCUUGCAGGGAGAAACUCUCCCAAUAUUAUUUUUUCCAUUUUCAUGGGUUUCGAACCCAAGAACUCAUGAUUAAGGGAUGCAAGCCCCUUCCGCUUGCACCGACAUCCGUUGGUCAAGUUGUGCAUUUCUAUCUUGGUGCCACUCAUCCCCUUAGUCUUUCCAAUCACUAGCCCCUUCCAGAUGCUCUACAAUUGCGUUUUCAAUGGUGGCACUUCUCUCAAUGCUGCCCGUGUAUCCCUAUCGCCAAACACCUUGUCCAUCCCUCAAUAGUCCACCAAAGGUUACAGGUCUUGGAUCUCCAUUGAUACCUGCACUGAUGUUUAUUUUGCAUUCACAAAUGGCACUUACUCCUGUUUUGACUUCUUGCCUUUAAUUUCAGCUAGACCACAUAAACCGAAAGAUUUACCAGUUAAUGAUUUCACAGUAGUUGAACUGUUAGGUUCAAACUUUCCAUGCAUCCACCCAAUAAAAGCAUUAGCAAUUAAAGUUUUAUGGGUCUAUUUGCAGUAAUUGCUUCCAAAUUCCUCUCCAUUUUAUUGGAGUUAAUAGCUUAUGGUAAGAAGCGUCGCAGAAAUAUUACAUGGAUAAGCAGGUGAAGGAUGAAUUGUGAAGUCAUAUCUCUGUCUGCAGCGGAGCUUUUAUGUAUCACCAUUUGCAAGAAGUUCUCUUACCUUCUGAGAUAACUCACUAAAUCUCUUUUAUUUUAGUUAGUUCUGCUGUUAUCUAUCAUUUGUUUGUUGGUGUACAUAUUCUUCAUUUUUUAUGGGAUUAGAACUCAUGUCCUCCGUUUAUCUAAGAAAUAGAGAAGAAAAAGAAAAAAGGAAAAUAAUUAAACCAAAAACUAUAUAAAACACGAAACUGCUAAAAAAUAAAAUGCAUAAUCUGAUGAAAUCAUAGAAGAAAAAGGAAAAUAGUAACACAAGUGAACUAUUUAAAAAGCAAAACUACUGAAAUAAAUGCAGACUUGAAUGAUAAGAAAAAAUGUAUAAAAUACUAACAAAAACUAUGAUGAUUACUCUAAUUAAAAACUCUAAGAGACUUUUGGGCAGAUUUAUGAAUGGUAAGUGGUUCAUAUCACCAAAUAAUCAAGAAAAAGUAAAAUAGAAACCAAUUUUUAUCCAAUGUCGAUAUCUCUUGCAGAGAUUACAUUUAACACCCUGCCCGGAGGAAAGAAAGGGGGAAAAAUUAAAUAUUCUAAUGGGGCAUUUUUGGUUGAUUAGGAACAAAUUUCUUGCUUGCCUUUUCUAUAAUUAACUGAAAUUUGAUUUCAGCCUAUUAGUCCCUUUAAGCCAUAAAUUAACCUGUUUUUUCUUCGAACUGUAGAAACAAAAUUUGUAGUGAAACAUCAAAAAGUGAUCAUCUUAUCCUGCCUACAUUGCAGCGAGUAGUGACUAAACUCCAAAAAGGCUCCAGCAUGUUCAAGUCUAUAUUGUAAGACUGGUUAUUAGCAAUUUAACAUGGACAGGAUGGCAGAAUGCAUCAUCAAGUUCCUAAACUAUUAUUCUUAAACAUUAGUCAAGAUUAUCAAGUAACUUCUACCAGAAAAUGAAAAGAAUCUAAAAAUUGGGAUAUUAGCUUUUAAAUAUCAAAAGCAAAAUUAAGGAGUUUUAAAGCUACAAAAUGAUCAAUUUGUCCUUGUUAAGGACAUCCCCAAAUGAAGAAAAAUUAUUACAUAUUAAUUUCUUUAAUUUGAAAGAAUAUGCCUCGUCCACUUCUGCUGGCCAUCGCCCUUGAGCGUCAAAUCGUGUUUGGAAUAUCAAUAUAUCUAUCUUUUCAUGCAAUUGUGAGGCAUUAAGAUGAUCACCUUAAUACCAAAUCAAUAUUUGUUGUUAUCUAUAAUGUUCCUAUCCGUCGUGCUAAGUCUUGUCUAAAAGCAUCUUCCAUAAAUAUAUUUCUAAAUUUCUUAGCGAUGUUCCAGGAAUAUGUCCUGUCUAUCGUGUGGAGCUAGCAUCUCAGAUCGUUUGCUACUCUCAAAAUUCAAUUCAUGGCAUAGUUCUACAAGCUACUGGAAUUCCUAUUUCUACAACUUAGGUCAACAUUCAUAUUUGGUAUUUGGAAAAUUGCCCUCACUUGUUGGGUGUAAAAAUUAUUGGUGACAAUGUAUAUUGUGAAAGCUUAUCAAUGUUUAUAGUUUGAGAUGUAUGGUGAAAGAUGCGUGUGGUGAUUGGAAAUAUUUGUUAAGGAAAAAUGGAUUUCACUUUCUCAUACAAUAUUUCUGUGGCAUAUGAAAAUCAUAUAGGUGCAUAAUUAUCAUAGUUUUUUCUUUUUACAACCACUUGUGCACUUGUUGAAUUGUCGAUUAGACAAAUAUGUAAGUAGGCAAUUGCAAGGAGUGUAAUACUAGGCCGUAACAACUUAGACAGGAGGUGUAAUUUUAAAAUAAAAAUUUUGAAUUUCAGUGCAAUAUUUUUUCCUCUCAUUUAAAGGAACACUGAAUAGUUUGAUGUGUCAUAUAAUACCUAUUGAUUAGUUUUAUAACAGAUAUAAGACCAUAUCAUUUAAAAGUGUUAUAAAUGUACGAUAGAAGCUACCUAUCAUUCUAAUUUAUGAUUACAUGGUCUUCAUCUUAUUAGAUUCAUGUUACGCCGCUUGCUGUAUAGUGACAUUAAUUAUUUAAUUAUGGGUAUGAGACCAUUGUAUUUAGACAUAUUAUGUGGGGACCCGUAAAUUUUUCUAAUUUUAUAUUAUUUAUUUUAUUUCCUCGCCUGCAUUUUUCUUCAUUAUACCCUACUAUUUCUAUUUUUCCAGAGAUUUUAUAAGUGAAUAGAGUUUUUAAAUCAUUUUCUUAGUUUAAAUUAGUUCAUGAUAAGUUUGAAGUGUAUUAUUGACGUGGGACCCGCUAGUGCGGUAAAUGCGAUAUAUUUUUGACAACUUGUUGGAGUUUUGUAUCAAGUGAUAUUAUUUUACAAGGUGUUAGGAUACAAUUAGAGGUUAAUUAGAUAUAUUACUAUUGGUAGACAAAAGGAUAGAAUUGAAACCCUAAAGGGCCACUUGUCACCAAACUAUUGGAACUUGGACUUUGACCUAACUUUCUUACCUUUACUAAAUACCAAAAAUUUUGACCAAAAAUAUCCCAUUUUUUCAUGAAGCUUGGCCAAACCUUUGAGGAGAGAAAAGAGAGGAAAACUUCAUCUUGUUUCUUCAAAUCCAAACCCAAAUCUUGAGUUCCAACCAUUAACAUCUCAAAUCACUCUAUAAAAACUCCUUGCUAGGAAGGAUUAAAGAGGUUGGUGGAGUUGUUUUGGAAAGGGAAGACCUAAAUUGCUAGCUUUCUUGAGUUUUUGAGGUGAGUUGCUAAGAAAUUCUUCCUUUGUUCUUGAUAAUAUUAAAUUAGUGGUUUUAGUGGCUAAAUAUGUUGAUUUGUGGUAGGUUUUAUGGUUGAAAGUGGAGUUUUGAUGGAUUUUUGAUUUAUUAGUGAUUUUUCUGUUUUUAUAUAGUAAUUAUUAUUUAGUCAUGGAUUGAUGGCUUGUUAUAACAUAAAAUGGAGUUUGUAUAUAUUGGAUAUGAUUGGUUACGGAAAAUUUCUGGUUUGGUGCGGAUAUUUCAGUUUAGGGUUUCAUCUUACCCUGUUCUGCUCGGUUCUGUUCGGUCAUGAUGGAGGCCGAAUCAGCCUUAGAUUAAAACAUGAAAGUUGUAGGAAAUGAUGUUUUAUAGCUGUCUGUAAAUUUUCAACUCAAUCCGAGCACUGUAACAUGUAAAAAGACAAAAAUACCCCUGACUGCCAUAGGUAGAGCUCUGUGGACAGUGUUGACAUUUCACCCAAUCUGACGGCAUCUGUUCACCUUGAUCCGUACUGAAUUAGCAUCUGGCCGAAACACGAAAGUUGUAGUGCUAUGUCUUAACUUUCCAACAGCCCUAAAAACGUCUCAAUCGGACUUCAGUAGCUUGAGCUAUUGUCGUUUACACAUUGUGCGGUUAACUAGCCUGAUUGUGAGACUCUGAUUCUAUAAUUUGAAAUUUUGAUCUAGUUACACUACGAACUGGACUGAGUGUCUUCAUCAAAAUUGUAGCCCUUUAUUUUAGCUUCGAAACGGAAUAAAUUGCACACCAAUUCGAUAAGCGUAGCUUCUGUUGUGUCCGAUACGCUAAGCGACGUCAAAUCUAUCUUUUGUUUUAUGGCUUAAACUUCAUUUCCGGACAUUUCCUAACUUGAUUUUGUACUUGUAUGACAUUGAGCCUAUUGAACGGCUAUUGAAAUGAGAUUAUUUUGUGUGUGACAUUGGGGCUGAUUUGAGGAAAAAUUAAGCCAUGAUGGCUAGAAAAGUAAGCAAAUUUAGGGGAGAUGCUAUCCAAUUUUCUAGGCCAUUUGGUUCCUUUAAGUUUGAGUUGCCUUUUGGUAGAGAUGAAGGGCUUUUGGGUCAUUCAAGCCCUAGGUCCUCUUGUUACCUUUUCGUUUCAAAAUCACGCUUUUGCACCUUUGCAUUUGUGGUUCGUUUGGUUAGGCACACGACUCAUAGUUGAGUUUUAUUUAUGAAUGUCAUUUCCAUAGGAACCAUAAUUGUUUUACUUUGCUCAUUUUAGGACGUGCUGGUGAUCCAGGAAGUACUUCGGGGGGGAACGUUUGAAUUUGUUUUACUUGAACUGGUAAAUGUAUCACUCCCCUCACUUGUUGUUUAACUUGGUUUCUGUACAUACAAUCUGUGAUAUGAAUGACUGUACUAUCUGUUUAUUCUAUUUGAGACGAAUGUGUACUUUAUCACACUCGUUCUCUUGUCUGUUCGUAUGCCAAUUUACUAUGUGAAUUUGAAUCUGUUAUCUAUAUCUGUAUCUGUUCUGACGUCGUUUGGAAGAUUGUAUCCAACGACCUUUCUGUGACCUCUGAGCUCAAAUCCUGUGGCUAAGUUACUUAAGUCGAGCCGGCAAGGGUUUGGUCGAUUAGAUAACGAACCACAGUAUUCUGUUCUAGGAAUCAUUGGAUAUUGAGACCCUUGAUUCCGAUAUACUCGAGUAUUACCACUUCUGUUUCUGUUGAGGUGUUCGGGUCCGGUAAAGAGUAUGUGUGGUGAACGGGAUUUUAGUGUAAAGUGGUGUUCUACUGGACUGGACUGGUUACUUUAUUUGAAAAGUUGACGGAGUGUCAACUAAUAUUUGAUCAAGAUUCGGUGAAGCAAAUGGGAAUUUGACACCUGAGAGUCACCCGUAUCCUUUCUAUCUAUGGUGUUUGUUCAUUUCUUUAUUUGAUUUGUAUAUGUGACUAAUUGAAUAUGAAAUUCCAUAACUCUUACUUGCUAUUAUUUUAGUACCUCAUUGAGCAUAAGUUCACCCCUUCCCAUUACUUUUGUUUUCCUUUCAGGGGCAAACUUUGAAUCCAUGAUCUUGGAAGAAAAGGUCGAGCUAGCGUAAUUAGUGUUUUGUUAAGUUCUUUUGCAACCGAAACCCGAAUCAUAUUUUUAAGUGUAUGAAUACUUUGGCUUGUACUUUAGGUUAGUUAAUUUGUUAAAGACUCCGAUGUAAAUAUAUGUAUAAGUGUUUAACCUUGUCUAUGAAGUGUAUUCAUUUGAGAUUAUGAUUUUAUGGUUUGGUAAGCAUGUUCUCACCUUAGUAGUCUCCAAUUGUUCAUUUUCUUUGGGUCUUAUCGCGCGUGGUACAGGGAUUUAUGUGAUUUGACUCCAUAGUCCUGGCGAGAGUUGGGCAGGCAGUCCGCCGAACCCUUUGGUUUGCCUUAGGGUGAAGUGGGGCUGACUCAUAUUACAAUAAGUCCAAUCAAGAUUACUUAUCAUCCUGAACGAUUAUGAUAAUAUAUUUUCAUUUGUUGAAAGUUAUACGAUUAGUCUUCAAAGUUACACCGUAAUAUAGAAAAGUUACACUGACAAAGUUACACCGACAAAGUGAAAGUUGAUAUAUAUAGACAAAUAAUUGUGUUUGGAUUGUAAAUUAUUUGAGAUAAUUUUGUGAAAAAAAUACUAUAGCACUUUUUUGAUAUAAUGUAUGUGAAAUAAAAAGAUGAUUGAAAAAUGUGUUGAUGAUGCAAAUACAUCAAUAUGUGUAAAUAAGGUAUAAAUAAGGUGAAAUAAUUAACAAUCCAAACACACUUGAUGUACAAUUAUCUUUUUGUCGAUGUAACACUUUUUCCUCGUUUAAAGAUACAUUGUUUAGUUCUAUAAGGGAUGUAAGAUCAUAUCAUUUAAAGGUAUCACAAAUAUACUAUAACGACUACCUAUCAUACAUAGUGAUGAUAACUUAAUCUUUAGGGAAAAAUAAUUGGCCCUCCAACUAUUAACUAAUAAGUUUUAACCCUCAAACUAAUUAAAACACAUAAUCCUAAUCCUUAAUUUGAGUCAUUAUUUUUAAUAGAAAUAGCACAACAUGUGCCUUCGCGGCCCUUAAAUUAUUACAAAACUCACUUUUUGGUCAUCCAACUAUUAACUGAUAAGUUGUAAUCCUUCAACUAAUUAAAACAUAUAAUUCUAGUCAUUUCAUUAAUUUGAGUCAUUAUGUCAAAUAGAAACAUUACUAUGUGCAUGAUAGGAGGCAUAUUGAAAUGUCCCUAUUUUUGUGUCUAAAUCUAAAAAAUAUACAACACAUUAGUGUCACAAUUAAGACACAAACAAUGGUUAUGAAACAAUAUAUCACUAUUUUAAUCCUACCAGAUGCAUGAAUCUAAUGAACAUGUCCUAUGAAGAUAAAAAUGCCCCUUGAUUAUGCUUCCACCGUACAUGUAGAGAUUUUUCUUUCUAUUCGACAUAAUAACUCAAGUUGAAGGAAUGGUUAGAAUUAUACUUUUUAAUUAAUUGAUGGGUUAAAACUUAUCAGUUAAUAGUUAGAUGACCAAAAGUUGAAUUUUGUAAUAAUUUGAGGACCAUUAGGGAAUCAUGAAUCCUAUAACUCAAGUUGACAUAACGACUCAAGUUGACGGAAAAAGUAAAAUUAUACAUUUUAAUUAAUUGGAGGGCUAAAACUUAUUAGUUAACAGUUGGAGGGACAAAAGUUGAACUUUGUAAUAGUUUGAGACCCACUGGAGAAUGUUGCCCUAAUCUUUAUCUCAGUAGGAUAAAUUUACAUCAUUUACUAUAUAGGCAUGUUAAUUGUUUAAUUACUGAUGUAAGAUCAUUCUUGUAAAUGUAUUAACAUAGGUCCAAUCAAAACUGCUAGUUAUUCUAAAUAAUAACAAUAUUGCAUCUUUACCUUCUUUAAAGUUACGCAACUAGUCUUUAUAGUAUACCGUAAUACUAGAAAAUCAUAUUGAUAAUAUGUACAUUGACAAGCAUAGCAUAAGAGAUAGAUAUUCAUUCACAUGAUCAAAGAUACAUCUCUCAUCGAUAUAAGAUUAUCAUCCCUUUUAAAGGUUCGUUGAGAAGUUUUACAAGAGAUGUAAGAUCAUCUCAUUUAAAGGUAUGACAAACGUACAAUGAACACUAUCCAACGUCUUAUUUGAUGAUGGCAUAAUCUUUAUUUUAUUAGACUAAAGUUAUGCCACUUCUUGCAGAUAAACAUUAAAUGUUUAAUUAUUGGUAUGAAACCAUUGCAUUUAAUUAUAUUAGCAUAUAUGCAAUCAAACUUAUCUAUCAUUCCGAACGAUAACGAUAAUGCAUUUUAAUUUUUAGAAAGUUACCAUUUUAAUUUUCACGGUUAUAUCUUAACACUAUAAAGUUACACCAACAAAGUAUAAGUUGCCUACCUAGAGAAAGAGAUACAUAUGCAUUGACAUGAUUAAAUGCAUGUGACCAAUAAUGGAAUUAUUUUUCCGUCAACAUAAGAUUAUCGUUCUCUUAAAAGGUAUAUCAAAUAGUUUUACGAGAGACAUAAGACCGUCUCAUCUAAAGGUAGUAAAACAUAUGACGAGCGCUACCUAUCUUGCAACUUGAUGAUGACAUAAUUUUCAUCUUAUUAAAUCAAAAUUACACCAUUUGAUAUAAAGGUACAUAAAAUGUUUAAUUAAGGCCAUAAGAUCAUCGUAUUUAAAUGUAUCGGCAUAGGUUCCAUUAAUUCUAUCUACAACGAUAAUGUAUUCUUAUCUUUUAUAAAGUUAUACCUUUAGUCUUCCUAAUUGUACCUUAAUAUUACGGAGUUAAACCUUAAUACUAUGAAAUUACACCUUAAUUCUAUGAAAUCACACUAAUAAAAUUAAGUUGCAUUGACAUUAUUUACUACAUGUGAUCAACAAUGAAAUUAUUUUCUUGUUGAUAUAAGAUUAUCCUCAUAUUUAAAGGUACAUUGAAUAGUUUUAUGAGAGUUAUACGAUCGUCUCAUUUAGAGGUAUUAUAGGUGUACAAUGAACACUAUGUAUCAUUGCACUUAAUGAUAACAUAAUCUUCACCUAGUCAAUCUGAAGUUACACUACUUAAUAUAAAAGCACAUUAAAUAUUUAAUUAUGUGUGUAAUACCAUUGCAUUUAAAUGUAUUAAUAUAGAUGCAAUCAAAAUGUUUUGUUACUUACAAUUUUCGGCUUUGAACCUCAAGAGUCUUGCCUUGUUUUCUUCAAAAUUCUUGACUAUAAUCUAUCUAUUUAUGCUCCAUAUUUUGCUUAAGACAUUAUCUUAUCAUACACGUGGGUUUUUCCCUGUAUUUGAACAAGAAAAUGGUGCAAUUUUGAAAGUUAUAUUGGGAUAAAAUCGACAAAUUGAUGUGUCUUCUAAGUGAAGUUUUGAAACUCUAAGUUUCUUAUUUCUGUUCGCUUUGAUUUGCUAAACUCUUGAUGUGACGGCUCCACCUUCCCCUAAGGCGUACCCCAGGGUUUGGCGGGUCGCCUGCCCAUUUCUCGCCAGGACUCACUUACUUAUAACUCAAGAAAAAUAACAUACAUCCAAAAAUAAAUAAAUAACACAUCUACUUCAACUUAAUACAUAUAUUAAUGCUCAAAUCCAGAUACAAAACUUCUACACGUCAAGAUACUUUCAAGUGGUUACAAUUCAAGUACAAAGAACCCUUGUCGGGUGCUAGCGCGAGUACAAUUCCAAAAUUCAAAACAACUAGAUUAUGCUAAUCUGUACACGUCUCAUGCCUCGCUCGUACUCCCUAUAAGGAAAAUAAAUGGAGUGGAAUGAGCUAAAAAUCCAGUGAGGUUCCAAAUAACAAGUUGACCAUUAUUUAAAGGUACGCGUAUCAACGUAGCAAAAGAUAGCGAGCAUAACAAGUUCAUAAAAGUGAACACUAACACUUCAAGUAGCAAAUUUCCAAUGAACGAGUAUAAAGUGCUUUUGGUUUUCAAAAGAAUAAUAAUCCAAUAAGCAAUAAUCAUUUCCAAGUAUAAGGAUACAGAUGACUCUCAGGAGCCAAGUUCCCAUUGCUUCACCAAAGCUUGAUCAAAUAUUAGUUGAUACUCCGUCAAUUUUCAAGUAAAGUAACCAAUCCAGUAGAGAACCACUUAACUCCAAUCUCCGUCCACCAACCAAACCCCUUACUGGACCCGAACUCCAAGAUAACAUUGGUGGUAAUACUCGAGUAUACCGAUUAGUCGAGGAGAUAACACUCCGCUCGACAUCACUAACUAUCCAUGGUUCAUUAUCUAAUCGACCAAACCCUUGCCGGCUCGACUUGAUUAACUAGCCAGUAGAAUUUGGAUCCCCUAGAAUUCGAUGAGACAACCUCUCCAAUCGACUGAAUCAAGAUAAAAGUACGGAGACGGGAAUGAGAGGUACCUCCCACUCGGAUCGAGUGUGGUACAUACUGCUGCUCAGUACUUACAAGUCACGCACGAAUAUCUCAAAUCAAUUGCAACAAUAAACAAGUACAUAUCACAUUAGGGCAAGUGCAAUAAAGUACACCCUUACCCGAUCAUACCAAUCACAUAUCAUUCAAUCAUAUUGGUCAAGUAUUGAAAACCAGUGUCCAGUUCAAUCAGGUAUUUGGAAGCACUCACCAAAAAUCUAGUACCUCUCAAAAAUCACGUUCCGGUCCAACUCCUUGGUUGGAGUCCAAAUCUGCAAGAAAAUAUCAUUUACGAAUGUAAACCUUUCUAGAGUUUGAAACAUAAGAGUUUCACUUCAAGAAAAUUAAGUAAAUGUAACUUGUUAUGUAGUAUUCAAGAUACUUUUAAAUCUCGAAAAAUUCAUACUCGCUCUUAAACCUUUGAAACUUUGAAGCAAUUAUACUUUGAAAUACCAUUUGAGUCGAAGAAAGGGAGAAAACGUAUUUCUAUUAGUCGUAAUUUUCAUUUUUCCAAGGGUACAAGUUUCGACCGAAUUCUAACUCAUAUCCUCGAUAAAAGAAGAUGUAAAUACCCUAGAUAGUUCAAGUGGUAUUCACUCUCAAGCCUUACUCAAGUCGCAAGUAGAUCUACCUAACCCUCGAGCGUAAAUUUGGGCAGUACGCCCUUUUAUAUAUACCUAUUUCCCAGUCAUUUAUGGAUUCAUUCAUUUCCUCAAUCAGUCCCAAAGUCACACACAAAAUAAUAUCAUUUCAAUAGCCGUUCAAUAGGUUCAAAGUCAUACAAGUACAAAAUAAAGUUAGGAAAAUAUCUGGAAAUGAAGUUUAAGUCCUAAAGCAAAAGACAGAUUUGACGUUGUUUUGCGUAACGGACACAACUGAGGCUAUGCUUAUCAGAUUGGGGUGAAAUUUAUACUGUUUCGAAGCUAAGAGAAAGGGCUACAACUUUGAUGAAGACCACUCAGUCCAGUUCAUAGUGUAACUGGGUCAAAAUUUCAAUGUACAAAACCAGAAUCUCACAAACAGGUUAGCUAACCGCACUAUGGUUAAAUGACAAUAACUAAAGCUACCGAAGUCUGAUUGAGGCAUUUUUAGGGGCGUUGAAAAGCUAAGACAUAGCACUACAACUUCUUUGUUUUGCCCAAAUGCUAAUUCAUUACGGGUCAGGGUGAACAGAUGCGGUCAAGUUGGUGAAAUGUCAAAACUGUCCCUUAAGUUCUACCUAUGGCAGUCAAGGGUAUUUUUGUCUUUUCACAUGAUACAGUACUCGGAUUGAGCUGAAAUUUUACUAGUAGCUAUAAAACAUCAUUACCUACAACUUUUAUGUUUUAUGCUAAGCCUAAUUUAGCCUCCAACCUAGUCAAACAGAACUGGUCAGAACAGGGGAGGUGAAAAACUGAAAUCUAGAAUUUGAGGUUUCAAAGGAAAAUCUCUUCAUUUCUUGCUUAAAUCACUACCACAACCUCUUAUACAAGAUUAUAAUCAUCAUAUACCAUCUACCCAACAAGAAAUACAGUUGAAAACCUCAACCCUAACUCAAGAACAUGCACCAUAUCCAUCCAAACCAUUGAAAUAACUAUCAUUAACCAAAGAUUUGAGGUGCUAUACCAACUUAAACAAGAUUAAAAGUAAGAAAAUGGUAAACCAGCAUUAUUACCUUACUAAAGCUUCUUUCAAGAGUAACCCUAGCUUUCCCUUCCAAACUUUUACCAACCCACAACCACCUAAGUACUCAAAGGAAGUUUUAAUCGGUUUAGAAUCUUGUUUUUCUCACUCAAUCAAGCAAAACCCAAGAUGGAUUGAAAUGGUUUCCUCUCUUCUUUUUCCUCUCACUCUCACGGCUGGAAGACUGUAAAUGAGAGCUCAAAUGAAGCUUCAAGAAGGUUAAAAUGAUAGAAAUGAAUUUGGGUCAAAGGUGACAAGUGUCACACUUUGAUUGGUAGUCAAAUUUUGUUCUUUUCUCUCUUAUUUUUGGCCCAAUAUUUCGGCUGCCUUGAGGAUAUUUUGGGGCUGAUAUUAAUCAAUUAAUAGCAAGGAGAUUAAGGUAAUAAAGUAGUGUUCAAGUGGUGCACUCACUCGGUAACAAACGGUACCCAUCAGUUCAACCCGUUUUUUCUUAAAUCGCAUAUACUAGGGUUUUAACUUAUAAUUCACUAACUUAUUAUUAUCACUUCUAAUCACACACUUAAUAUCAUCUAAAAUUCACUCUUAAUCACCAAAUUUGAUCCACUCUCCGUACCGGAUAGUCACACAAGGGAUAGGCGUAAAAAUCUUAGUUUACCCUAACGAUAAGUUGCUUCCAUAAGUAACAUUAAAGUAAGAAAGUAAAAAAGAUAAGUUGCUUCCAUAAGUAACAUUAAAAUUCACACUACAAGUUCCGAAAUAUAACAAUUGUCCCAUUCUUACAUUUGAUCCAAAAGGUAUCUGAAUUCCCAAAGUACAAAAUAGCCAAGCAAUCUAGUGAAUUACAUUUGGAAUAUAAUACAGAAGUACUUCAAAAGGGGUUCCAUCAAGUUCCACUCCAUCCAUCCCUAUUAAGGAAAACAAAUCUACGGGAUGAGCAAAACGCUCGUGAGGCCAAGAACACACAUGCAAGUACAUAGUCCAAGUAGCAGACCCAAAUAAUAGGUCAAAUGAUAAAGUGCGAGUAGUUAACAAUUUCAAUGAAAUGUAACCAAAAACAAUUCAAGGAUAUGGUAGUUCUCAGGAGCUAAGUUCCACUUGCUUUGUCAAUGUCAUCCGUAUACCAUCCCGCGAUGACUCUCCGUCAACCGGGUCGGUAUUUCCAAUCCGUAGACCUCCACUUACUUCUCAGGUCCGUCCACCGUACAUACCACACCGGACCUGCACGACAUUUAUAAGACGAUACUCAAUGAGUAUGCCAAGCAAGAUCUCUCCAAUAGAUCAAACUUAUCAUGUGAUUCUCAUGGCUCACCGAGGUUCCCGACCAAACCCAUGUCGGCUCGAGUCCCAAGGUCGGCCUAUGAGUUUGGGUGUCCCUCAUGUACAUUUGAGUGUCGAGGAGGUUCACUCCAACGACGUAUGCAGCCAUAGCAUACUUAUUUCAUGUAAUUCAAGCAUUUGAUACAUUCAAGCAUUUGAACUUUCGAGCAUUUGGCAUAUUAAAACAUUUCAAGUAUGAGUAAUUCAAUUCAAAUUAGAACGAGUGCGAUAAAGUACAUACUCGACUCCAUUUUUCCAAAAUCUCAAGUCCUCAAUAGUAAACAAGCAUGUACAAAGUUCACAGGAGUUCAAGUAGUCACACACAUGACACUCAUCAAGUAAAACAAGAAGGAAUGGCACUCGAAGUUCAAGCGCCCACCGUGGGAUCCUCUUGAAGUUCUUCUUGUGUGCCUGACCAAUUAAUAAUGGACUAUUACUUAUAAACCCCAAACGAUGAGGAAGAUCGUACACUAAUACAAUCUAGAAAAUAUCUCAAAAAUCGAGUCUAGGUUUUCUUUUGAAAAAUCGAGACUCAAGAGAGUUACAAGACUCGAGUAAAAACGGAUCAUUAUCCUUAAGAUCAUUGGAAGGGAACAAGUACGAGCAAAUAGAUCUCAAAACGAACGACGGAAGUCUGAAAAGGGCAGGUGACGUCACAAUCCAGCCGGAUUCCUGGCCGGAUUGGAGGCAGAGACCAACCUCCAAUUUUUUUCAAACUCCAACACCAAUCCGGCCGACUAUUCUGCCAAGAAUUGGCCGGAUUCAAGGCCGGAUUCUGGUGAACAGUUUCCAGCGCAGAUUGCCUUCAAAUGGUCACAAUUUUUUAUUUUUGAUGAAAUCUUUGAAAAAUCAUAACUCACUCCCUGGUUGUCCAAAAUUGGAAAAUUUGGUACCGUUGAAAACAUUUUUCAAAAUACUAAAAGUUUCUAAAAGAACCUUUCCAUGAAUCCAAGUGGAAGGCAUUCAAAUUUUGGCUUGAAGUUGAUAACUAGAGUUAUCAAGAUAGAUUUAAGUUGGUUUUUGGCCAAUUUUGAAAAUUCAGCAAAAUUCACUCAAUUUGAACUAGCCUUUGAAAUUUGAUACUCUACUAGAGUUACAAUCCAAGUUUAAAACAAAAUAAGCGGAACAAGAAUUGAAGUUUUGAACACCAAGAUAUGAUAGUUCAAAGUUAUCCAAAUUUCCUUGUUAAAUAAGGGUUUUCCAAAAUUAAGUCAUGAACUUUGGAAGUUUAGUUGAGAAAUGCAACGGCCUCGGAAUAGCACCAAAAUUAGCAGUAUAAUAUUACCAUAUAAGGACUAUUUCUCUGCCAAAUUUCAUUGAUAAAUAAGCACGGAAAGUUGGUUAACUAAAACACCCAAGUUUCUAAAAUUUCAAGGCAAAACUGCCUUGUGUACAAAAUGUCCUUUAUCUAAGCUUUUGGCCACAUGAAAUCCUUGCAAACAUGGUACAUUUUAGUAGACAAUGUUUAUUAAACAUCCAAGAUAUGUUUGAUGGUGAUUAACACCAAGAAUCUCGAAUUAACAAGUCUCAAUCGAAUUUAGUAACAAUUCUGCCCAAAAGGAGAGUUUUCCUUCAAGAAGUCAGUUUCAAAAUAUGGUCACAAAUCACUCAAUUCAACUGAGAAUUGGGUGUGGUUGGUGGCGUUGGAAAACACUUUCAUUAAUCUACAAUUUCUCAGAAGAAACCAUUUUCAAAAUCCAUCCACAACUAGCUCACAUUUGAGCAUCAAGUUGUAGUUCAUGUUCUGCCCUGUAGUGAACCAAUAAAACAGGACAGCAAUUUUUAAACGAAUGGUUUGGCUUACAUAAGUGGAACCCGAAUGUACAUUUUAUACCAAUAGAAAGCUGAGAAUGUCUAGUUUCCAGUGCCAUAAACGACACUCGAUUUUGACAUCGGAGCAAAAAGUUAUGACUGAAACAAGAUGACUGCCUGGGCAGUUACGGGAACCAUUUUCCUGUUUUCUAAGCUUUCGAAAUCAACACAUUUGGAUGAUCAAAUCAUGUUAUUUUUCAAUGAAACUUUUCACACACUCAAUAUAACACAUAUACAUCACAAAAAACCCAUUAGAAACUCAAAAUUUUGCAUCAAAGGUCACGAACAUGGCAGGGGUAAAAUAGUCACUUUUGCUCAAUGCACCAUCCUUGAGUUUUUAUCAACAACCCAACAUUAUACCACUAAUAAGCACUAAACCAACAUUAAUUUCAUCAUCAAUCACCAAGUCAGUCCAUCCAACCAAAGUGGGAGUUUAUAGAGCCCACACAACAAUUUUUUAACAUAAACAAGCUACCAAUAUGCAUGCAUGAGUUUAAAUGAGCUCUACUACUUCCAUAAAUCAAGUUUCCAAGGUUUGAUCGUUGCUUACUUGUUUAGAUGAACCAAGCAGAAAUUUCGGUCCUCUUACAGCUCACAAAAACCGUGGAAAUGAAGUCCUUUUUCUAGUUUAAGAUGCUCUCCAAGUGAUUAGCAAAAUGUGGUUGAAGUUUGAGGUGAUUUGGUGAUGAUUUAGUGAAGAAAUAAAGAAGAAUUUGAAGCUGUUUUUCCUUCCUUGUUGUUCGGCUGUUUGAGUGAAGGAAUAGAAGAGAUGUUGCUGAUGGUAAGCUUCCGUGAGAAGCUUUAAAAUUUGUGGCUAAAAGUUGCUUCAAAAGUCAACUCUCCCUCGCGCGCACGCGCUCGUUUUGUGCUCGAUUCCUCUUGCAUUUGUUUCACUAGUGCACUAAACCUCUAAUGCACUUCCAUUCAUAUUAUUAUUAUCCACUCUUAUGGGUCUAAAAAUAAUGAUCUGAAGUCCCUCAAUUAAUCACGCGCGUAAAAACGCAUAUUUCCAAUUUAAGUGCAAUAAAGUGAAAUCUCCAAGAAAUUCUUAUAACAAUAGUACCACUAACUAUCACUUGAAUACUUAAGCAUAAAAACACCUAUUUUAAGACCAUUGUGCAAGCCUCUAAUUUUCCAAGCUUAUUGUAUUCUCGAAUCAAUUAUUGACUCCAAUCGAGUAUUCACCAUUUUCACUUAACAAGCUUCCAAAAAUUAAAUUUUGAAACAAGUCACUUUAAAAAUAUAACUAAGCUAUAAUUCCAUAUAAUUAGGUCUAAAAAGGUUAGAAAAUAAUAUUCAAGGCAAUUGCCCAAAUAAAUAAUUAAAUGAGCUUGAAUUAGGAGUUUAAAAUAGAUGAAUUUUGUGAGUCUUCACAUGAGUCUUGUAUUACUUCCUCAAAUCUCUAAUAAAUUUGUAUCAGCGUGUCUUUUGAAAAAUUAUCGACGCGCAAGCGGUAUACACUUACUUAAAACUCAUUCACCUUUAAUUCAUCAAUUAACUCUUUAUCUACUAUUGAUCAUUCUUAAUUCCCCAAGAUAAAUGCACUCUCGAAUAGAAUAUCACCUUGAAACACAUGUACUCAUUAUUCCUCACUUAAAUGAACCUCCGAAAAUUAAAUUUGCUAAUGGGACGUUUUAAAAACAUAAGGAAGACAUUGUUCCAUAUGAAUGGACUUAGAAUGGUUGAAAUAAAUUAUUUGGAGAAAUAGGUGAAUAAAUAUUUAAAUAAACCAAUAAUACUCGAUAAAAAUAAGAAAUUUUUUUUUCGGGUUCUCACAUAAUAUAUGAUAUCCAAGGAUGCCCAGCCAUUAGAAUUGUUGAUAAUCAUAAUAAUCAUCUGAUUACCAAUAAAUAGUUCAAUAAUUAAUGAUCAUUAUGAAUGACUAAACUACAUCUUAAUUUUUUUUGCUUAAAAGGAUCUACUUAAAUUAAGUUCCUUUUCUGAAUAAUAGAUAUAGAGGUUCUUCCUUACACAGAAUUCAAUUAUUGGCAAUCUGGGAAUUUUUCUGUUUCACCAAAACAGUAGGAAGCGGCAAGAUACAUUUGUCGGUGGUGUAGUGUCAGACUAUCAUUUAAUCAUUUACUCCUAAUUAUAGAAUAUUGGUUGGUCCCACAUUAAAGACGUGAUUUAUAAACAACGCCUUCAUAUACACCCUUACGGCAGUUCGUUGAGUUCGGUUGCGUGAACUCCUGGCCAAGCGAGGCAAUCUCCGAACGUCAUGCAAGGACGGUUUCUCGGGCCGGGUUCGCCCUCUUGCCUCCUGUAUUCUUGCCCGAAUGUGGGCUUUAUGACUCGGGAAGUAAUUGAUAAUCAUGUAUCCAAAUUUUGUUCAAAAAAAUUUCAAGGCAUUUUAUCCUCUUUCCUCUACGCGGACAUGCAUAAUCUUGCGUUUCCACGGCAAAUAAUAAUAAUAAUAAUUUUGGUAAUCAUAACUGCCAAAUUCAAAGAAAGCUUGCUUUUGUAUGUUUAUUUUCAAUAAUGUUUUGCAAAUCUAUGUAAAAAUUAUUGUGUUGUAAAAUAGGAAUAUUCGUGUGUUCAUUUUAGACUUCUACUUUUUUGUAAUUUUAAGAAGUAUACUAAUUUUAGGUAAAAUUUUGAUGUACUAUUAGUGUAUACACAAGCAAGUAUAAAAUAUAUAUAUCACAUAAUGUAAAUUCAAAUUUGAAAUUCACUAUUUGCAUAGAUGAUAUACUUUUAUGCCUAUAUGUAUAUAUAAACACACACACACACACACACACACACAUAUAUAUAUAUAUAUGUAUGUAUGUAUAUUAUAUAUUGUAAGUGAGAGGAUCGGAACUCAUAACCUCAUAUUUACAACUCUUCCCAUUUUACCAUCCAAUCUAACUCUUCUAAAUUAUAUAUAUAUAUAUAUAUAUAUAUAUAUCGAUCCUCCAUACAUACGUUCUUUAGUACUUGUGAUUAUUAAUUAUCUCAUUUUAGAUUGAUGAAUUUAUCAAUGACAUUUUUGUUUAAAAAACGUAAUGACAUCAAAUAGGCACAAUGAUCUACACGACAGAAUUGUAUGUAAUAGGCAAUGAUUUUGGAAAUUCAUUUCCAUUACAAGAGACAUAUUGGGGAUUAUAGUUUGUAAUGUGUCAACUAGUCAUAAGCACUUGUCAUCCCCUGUGGGAAGAGAAACAUGUAGUUCACCUAUUCACAAGUGCAAAGAAUAUUUCCUUUAGCAAUUUGAUUCUAACGUAAUUUUUGUAGAACAUGCAAACUCAACAGACAUGGUGUAGGUGUGAACACAUCUGAUUUUGAAAAAAAAAUAUUGCAAUAUGGAACCCAAUUUUGAAUUGGGUCAAUCACAAUCCCAUCUAGCACAUAGUAUCUUGGGAUACAUUUGGAACACUUUAAGAUUUCUAACAAUUUCACUUAGUGCUCCUGAAUUUUGAAAAAUAUCACUUUCCUCCCAUAUUUUUUUUAUUUUUGAUAACACUAUCAACCCAUUUCAAAAUAAAUUAUUAAAAAAGGGAUUAUUAUCAUUUUACCCCCUAACCUUUAUAGCUAUUAUCACUAUACCCUAUAAUAUUAUCUUUUAAUCAGUUUACCCCCAAGACUAACAGUCAAAGCAAACAGCGUUACAUAAUUUAGAUGAAAUGACAUAUGUAGCCCAAAAUAAUAGUUGAUGACAAAAAUGCCCAUUUUGUUCCAAAAUUGCAAUGGGCAGGAAAAAAUGCACGUUAUGUAGGAAAAUUAAAAAAAGGAAAAAAAAAGGGAAAAAGAAAGAGUUAUUGCUUAGGAGGGAACUUAGGAGGGUUCCCUCAUUGAAGUGAAAUUCUUAUUUCAUUCUCUUUUAACGAAGAAAAGAAAUUUUUACAGUGUUUAAACCCCUAAAUUUCUUUAACCUUACAUCUCUGCUCUUUGACGAUCAAAGGAUCAAGUGAUCAACAAAUCCAAAGAAAGAUCGAAAGACUUUGUAGCAGGAGUUGAGAAUUGUUGGUGUGAAAGAAAAAUAAAACAAGGUACAUCUCAAAAUACCCAAAAUGUAAUGUAAUAUGUCUUCUGCAUGUUGAUCCUUUCAAUAUGCUAAAAUGAUUUAGCUGUUCCAAGGUAGUAAUCUUUAAAUCAAUCACGUUAGUGGAUUUGAAAUUCAAGGGAAAUACAGACUUACAACUUAUUGGUUACAAUAACUAAUAUUAUAUUAGUCCUAGCCAACCUACCAAUUGCUCUAUAGAAAAAUAUUCCUAGCCAAGUAUAUGGAUUUUUUAUGAAUUAGUAGAUUGUGAAUCAAUGACUCGAGGCUUUUCUAUUCUUGUACUUUUAUGCGUAUUUCAGUUGGAUGUAUCAUAUAUAUUAUGGUUGACUUUUCAGAGCCACAAGUAUGCACACUUUCAAGAUUCACUAUGAUGGCCAUUUUGUCCAUGCUCCUAUGUUUGAGUACGUGGGGGGAAAAGUAGCACACUUUCUUGACAUUGAUCCUGAUCUCAUGUCAUAUUUUGAAAUUCUUAGCUACUUGAGAAAAAUUAACGUGGAUGAAAACUUUCCGAAGUACUAUAAGAUUUCUGGAUUUGACUUGUUACAUGGGCUUAGACUACUUAACAGUGACAGUAAUGUCUUAGAAAUGCUUGAAUUCAACAGGAACCACAAUAUGGUUGAGAUAUAUGUUGGUUUUGGUGUCGAUAAUGAUGCUUUUGUUGAGGAACCUAUGCUUAAUAAUUUGGUUGACAACAGUGCUCAUCUGGAGCACCUUGAAGUUGGAAAUGCUGCCAAUGAUGAGGGAAAUGGUGCUGGAGUUCAAAAUCAUGAGAGUUUAGAAAAUGAAAAUGAGGACUGUGAUUCUUCUGACGAAGCGUAUCAUGCUGAAGAAGGAGGAUCAAGUGAUGAUUCUAAUUUUGAAUUUUUUCUUGAUGAUUGAAUGAUGGGUGUGAUCCAUGGGAAGGGGAAGAAAAUUUAGAGGAAACAAAUGAACAGCAAAACUUCUCAGAUUAUAGUGAAUAUGCUCAGUUGAUUGCAAAGGAGUACCAGGCUUAUGUUGCCUCUAGGGAGAAGGGAAAAAUGUUAGAGACAGAGUUUGUCAGUGAUGAUGAAGUAUUGACUGUUGCUUUAAACUCAUCUGAUGAAGAACAACAUGAAGAUUUUCCUGAAUUUAAUAUUGAAAAGGACAUGGAGAAGCCUAACUUAGAAGUUAGACAUCUAUUUACUAAUGUGCAAGAUUUUAGGCUUGCUAUAAGACAUCAUUCUAUAGUAAAUGGGUUUGAGAUAAAUUGGAAAAGAAAUGACAAUGAUAGGAUUGUGAUCACUUGCAAAAGAAAUUGUGGCUGGAGAGUGUAUGCCAGUGAGUAUAGGGAUACCAAACAAUUCCAAAUAAAAACACUAGAUAGAACUCCUCAUCAAUGUCUACAUUCCUACAAGAACAAGAGUGCUAAUGCAAAAUGGAUAGCCCAAAGGUUUAUUAGAGACAUUGCGGAUAAUCCAUCUCUAAAAAUUGAUGUACUUAAGAAGGUAGUGAAAAGAAAAUAUAAUGUGAAUGUGUCUGACCAACAACUUUACAGGGCUAAGAGUAAGGCAGCUAAGAUGAUCCAGGGUGAUCAUAAGAUGCAGUAUUGGAGAAUUAGGGACUAUUGUGCUACAAUAAUUUGUAAGAAUCCAGGUUUUGUUGCUAUUGUAGUAAUUGAGAGAUUGCCUAUGUGCCCUAAUCCGAUCUUCAAGAGAAUGUUUGUGAUGUUUUCUACUCAAAAAGAAGGCUGUAUUGUUGCAUGUAGACCUGUGAUAGGACUAGAUGCUUGUCAUAUAAAAUCUACAAUGGGGGGGACAGUUGAUGGCUGCUGUUGGUAGAGAUGCUAACAAUCAGAUGUAUCCACUCGCUAUGGCACUAGUAGAGUCUGAAUGCAAAGAUAGCUGGGACUGGUUCCUUGACCUACUAACUGAUCAUAUUGGAUUACCAAGUGAAUUAGGUUGGGUUUUCAUCUCUGAUAGACAAAAGGUUAGUCAACUAUUAUUUUGGUUUAGUUGACAAAUUUUUUUCCCAUUUAUUUUACACAUGAUGCUAAUUACGUAUUUUGUUUACAUGGAUUGAUUGAGAUAAUGGAGAACAGAUUUCCUAGAGUUGAGCAUAGAUAUUGUGUCAGGCAUAUGUACGCCAAUUUUAAACUACGAUUCAAAGAUAAACAAUUGAGGAAUAUCAUGUGAGCGGCUGCUAGAGCCUAUGUACCAAACAGAUUUGAGGCUAAUAUGAGAGAAUUACAAGCAAUAUCACCUGAAGCUCAUGCAUGGUUAAGAGUUGUUCCAACAAACUUAUGGGCAAGACACAUUUUUUCUAGUAGAACUAAGUAUGACCUUCUAACCAACAACAUAUGCAAGAGCUUCAAUCAAUAUGUUAAGAAGGCAAGGCAAGAACCUAUUUUGAUCAUGUUUGAGAAUAUUAGAAGACAAAUCAUGUGUAGAUCUCAUGAGAAAAGACAAUGGAUUAAAAGAGUUCAGUCCAAAAUCUGCCCAAGAAUAGUUGAGAAAAUAGAUAACCACAAGACUCAGGUGCCACUUUUUGAAAGUAGGGAAUCAGAAAGUGGGAUAUGGGAAAUUGCUGAACCUACUAAGAGUUAUAUAGUUUCCAUUAAUGAAGGUAGCUGCACAUGUAAAGAGUGGGAAAUGACAGGCAUCCCAUGUGUUCAUGCUUGUGUGGCAAUUGUGAAUAGGGAUGGUGAGCCAGCUAACUUUGUUCAUGAUCGGUACACAGUUGACAUGUAUAAAAGGGCCUACAUGAACCUUAUUAUACCAGUUCCAGAUGAAAACAAGUGGGUGAAAUCAAAUACAGAUCCAGUGGCACCCUCUCUUAUAAGAAAAGCACUCAGCAGGCCAACAAAGAAAAGAAGAAAGGGACCUGAUGAGAACCAGCAAUCCAACAAACUUAGCAAAAAAGGCAUACCAAUUCAUUGCAGUCACUGUGGUCAUACAAAUCACAAUGUAAGGAGCUACAAAAACACUGGCUGCUUGUAUGUUAGGAAAAGAAAACAGGUAGUGACCAGCUUUAUUUGAUUCAUAAUUCAACAAGUUUCAGCUUUUUGUUAGCUUAGUUCUUUAUCUUUUUUGUUCUAGGUUGAAAAAGCUACCGGUAACAAUUCAGAAGAAACUAGCAUACAACCAAAAAAUUCCCAAGUUGCACGUACAUGCAGUGUUAGAGAUAGGGGAAUUGCUAUUGGAAGGGGGUGUGGCUUAAGUGUUAACUACAAUAGAGGUAAGAGAACUAAGAUGGGAAGGGGUCGUGGCAAAUGUGUAAGCUAUGGUCCAUUGAGUGGGAUUGACAACUGGAAUGGUAUGGGAAUGUCAACUGGAACAACUUUUAUUCACCACUCAAGAAUCGUAAAAUUGUUCACUUUUGCCUAGUUUCCUUUAUCAGUACAAUCAUCACUCAUAAAUGUAAUUCAUUGCAGAUUUCCCCACAAAUGGUGCCUACAAAGUGUGCUAGUCAGAGUGGAAGUGAAGGCAGAGUGACUACUAUUAGAGCUGGUGGAGGAAGCAAUGGUGAUAUUAUGAGUGAGAAAGCAAGUGCUGAUAUUAUGAGUGACAAAGCAAGUGGUGAUUUUAUGACCGGAGCUCCAUUUAGAACUUCAAGCAGUAAAAACUACAACGCUGGAAAUCAGGUUAGAAUAUUGAAGCCUUGUGCAAUUUAAUAAACUCCAGUGAUGUAGUGUUGGUUGUACGGUUAUGCUUUUUCAUAUUUUCACAUCUUCUUUUAGGUUCACAAGGUGCAAACUAGAUAUGGAGUCCAUUUGCUAUCCAGCAAAGGAUCGUCAAGUGCUGCUUCAAAGUCCAGCAUACCAGUUGGCAAAAAAUGAUAUUUCUAAUGGUCAACAAUUUGAAGAUAAUGUUUUGUUCUUUUCUUUUUGGAUGAAUUGAUGAUAUUUUGUUAUUAAUUUUGAUGGAUUCCCACUAAUGACAGAUAGUGAAUGAUUUUUUUUUUGUCCCAACCAGACAAUGAUUAUGCUUUAUAUAUAUGUAACAGCGAGCUAAACUUGAUAUUGAGAAUACAUUCAAGGUCAAUAGAAUUUUUUUUUAUUUGGUGGUAGCAUCUAACAACAGUCGUUAAUCUUCUUCAUUGUCACUUGGUAUAUGAAAUUUCAAUUUUUUUGAAAGUUUGCAAAAAGGAUCUAUCAGUCUGAAAAAAGCAAAAAAUAGUUUCUAGUAUAAGAAGUUCCAGAUGAUUUUUUUACACUUACGAAAAAAUAUAAAUAUGUCCAGAAAAAUUUUAUAUUAUAACCUUGUAGGUAGAGUAGACAAGAAAUUAAGAGAAUAAAAUAAGAAAUAAAAAAAUAAAAAUUAAGGGAUUUGUGAACGAUUUAAGAAAAAAGAGAAUAAAAAAAGGUUGGAUAUCAUUUUAAGAGAAAAGGAAUUUAAAAAAAAAUCAAGACAAUUGCAAAUACUAUGAGCAAAAAAAAAAGAAGAAACAAGUUCUUCAAGGCUUAAGGGUAUUUUCGUCUUAAAAAUUAGUAACAACGAGUUGGCUAACGGAAAUGGGUAAACUGACUAAAGAAUAAUAUUAUGGGGUAAAGUGAUAGUAGCUAUAAAGGUUAGGGGAUAAAAUGAUAAUAACCCUUAAAAAAAAAACUCAUUUUUGGAUAAAGAAGAUGAUUUCAUUCCAAACGUGCCCUUAUUCAUCCUAGUUUUUUUUUUGAAAAAAUUUAAAAGUAUAUUAAGAAAAGGUUGAAAUUAAUAGACAUAUUGUUUGAAUGUGCAAUUUUAGUGGGAUACAAUAUAACAGUAAGUGUUUUAAGGUAUAAAUAAUUUAUUUUUAAGAGUAUAUUUGAGGUGCUUUCAAACCAAAAAAAUAUUAUUAAUUGCAAAGUGUUUACCAUCAAUUUGAUGAGUUUUUUAAAUUAUUAGAAUUUCUGAAAAAUAGAAUAAAUUUAUAUUAUAUUUAAAAACUCAUUUUAUAUGUUUUCGAAGACUAAAAGGAGUUAUUAUUUUAUUGAAAAAUGUUUGUGAAUUUCUAAAUUUAAUAUAUAUUGUUUCAACUAAUGAUAUGAAAACUAUUAAAAUAUUUUUCAAUCUUGUUAACAUCCUAUAAUUCUUGGCUACAAAAUUAUAACGGCAAAGUUUUAAAAGUUUAAGAUAUUAACUAAUUUAUUAUGAAAACAAAAAAGACGUACAAGAAAAGGGCAACAUUGGAAUGAACACGAAUUCUCUAUUCAAACAUAAGUUUUUUAAUAAUAUAUUAUAAAAUGAGUUUACACUGCUAUAGAAAAAAGUUGAAAAUAAAGGAGGCAAAUAAUAUCUUUUAAAAUUCAAGAGGUUAAGUGAAUUGUCACGGAACUCAAGGAAAGCCGGUGAAAUUAUCCCAAAUAUCUUUAUCCCAAGUGUCCUUAUCCACGUUAAAAGAUUGUGGGGAUAAUUACUCUGAGUUUAAAGUUUUAAACCGCACUUUCAAUUAUCAAUUGACUAGAUCGUAUUGAUUUAUGAGCUCCACUUUAGAUUAUAUUUUGCACUAAAAUUUCGAUUACCUCUGAAUGUUAUUCUAAUUUUGUUAUAUGAUUUCCAGUAAUUUCGAUUGUUGAAAAAAAUGUCUUUAUCCACAAUAACCCUUCGCACAAUUUCUUCCUAGAAAGGACGGAAGAGAAAUCAAGUAGCCCUAGUUGAUGCAUAUCAGUACUGAACUACUGAUGAGUAGUGACUCACAACAGGAUAAGCACUAAGGAUAUGAGAUGAGAGAUCUCGUGGACCAAUCAAUUUGCGGAUUUUGAUAAUCUGUGGACCAUGUAAUAUGCUUGUGGUGUAUAUUUUUUUGAAGGUAAACUACUUUUUUUUGUCUUAGUAAUAUUAUUUUAUGUAUCCAUGGACCAUGUGUUAUUAAUUUAUUACACUGGAUAGUAGAUACCGAAUAGUCAAAUACCACCUGUCAUUUUGCUGAAGCUGAUGGCUUCUUUUUUUUUUUUUCAAUUAUGCCCUUUUCGCAUAAAAUUGCCCUUUUCAACUUUCUUGGGUUUUCUCUAAAUUGACUGAGAAGCAUAUGGUGGGGUCCAGAGCAUUAAUAGUUGAGUUGAACAGUUGAAGUCAAAUCCGUGAUAAUUUGUGGUUCACGUUUCUCUGAUUUUCUUUACGUCAUUCAUGACGUAAACAUUUUUGUAUUUAUAGGUUAGAACAGCCAUUGGAUGACAGCCACUGUGGGUUUCACACCCAUAGACACCUAUCAAAACAGUUUCAUUAAUUUAACAAAUUUAGUUUCUUAAUUAUACUUAAUUAUUCAAAGACCCAAAAUAUUUUUUAAAAUUGAUUUUUCUUUGGUUUUCUUAUUUUGCAUUAAGAGAUAAUUUUAGUAACCUCCUCUCAUAUUUAUAUUAAUAUCAUUUGAUAUCCCUAAAAUUUAAGAAAGUUCACCUACCUCCCUUAUUUUUAACAUUUUUUUAACUUUAUCAAUCCAUUUCAAAAGAUUUGAUUUAAAAACUUAGGCCCUGUUUGGAUUGCCAUUUUCUGUCAGAAAAUUGCGUCGUUUUCCGUGAUCACAUUUCCCUAUUACCUUUUUCCCUCACAUACAUCAAAUCGCUACAGUAAUUUUUCCAUGAAAAAUGACGAAAAAUGCAAUCCAAACGGGACCUUAGUUUGAGAGAGAUAAAACAUUUCUUUUCAAAAACUACCCGUUUCUUGUGCACAAUUACUUUUCAUAAUAAAUCAAAUUAAAUCCUUAAGAAUUACAAUAUAUUAAUGAAAUUGAAAGACCUUUUUGUAACUUUCUAUGUUAUCGGUCCGGACAAGAAAUGCAAAAGAAAAAUUGUUAUUAUUAGAAAAAAAUAACAUUUUGCAUCUUGAAAAUACCUCAAAUGAGUUUCUAAAAAUAUUGUUAAUAAUUUAUCUUUCUCUUAUAUUCAAGCCAUCGAUUUGGACAAAAAGUUAGAAUACUAAACAAAAUUCUAUAAGUUUUAUAAAAUUCUAAAUUUAUCUAAAAAUACUUUUUAAUAAAGAAAGUUACUUUUACAUUUUUUGGAAACACCUCAAAUGAGUAAAAAACAUUAUGUCUGUUUUUUAUACUCAAGUCAUCUGUCUAUACAAAAAAUUUAGAAAGUUCAUUUUUUUAACAUUCAUAAAACUCCUCAAAUUAAUGAAAACACUUCAUAGUGAACGAAAAAUAUUUUAGCUUGAACGCACCCUUAAAUAGUAAUCUUUUGUGCCUUAAAAACACCUACUCGUAUAAUUUUUUCUAUUAGAAUUAAAGCAUUUCCUCUCUCCAAAUAUGAGUUUCUUAAUAAUAUUUUUUGAAUUGGGCUGAUAACAUUACAAAAAGCUGAAAAUGAGAAAGGUAAGUGAAAUUUUUUCAAAAUUUAGGGGUAUCAAGUGAUGUUGCAACAGACCUUAAGGGAGGUUUCUGAAACUAUUCCUUGCAUUAAUGUAGAAAUUGUUGGUUGGCUUCGCAAAGGUAGAAAAGCUGCGACCCCUUGGCACGUCAGGUUGAUGAUAGAGCACUUUUCUUUCGUUGAUUUUGAAGUUUAAGCUGGUACAGUUUUAAUAUGUUUAUACGUCUAUGGAAUUGCAAAAAUGAUGAUAAUUUUUAAUCAAUUAAGGAAAAUUUUUUUCUCUCCAUAAAAAAAUUUAGCGUCUUAAUCGACUUUGCAGUCCAUUAGUAUACAAAAUCUUACAUGUGCCUCACUCUCUCAUAGAUUUCCGUUUGUAAACAUCCCAGAAUUCCGAUGCAUUAUGAAAUAUCAUCAAAUAGGUUGCUAGUAAAGAAGAGAGUGACUUUUCUUGGAGGAAGAAGACGGUGACUUAAAAGUCCGUUGCAUCAAUUUUUCUUUUGAGUAAUAAUCCUCAUUAUCAUUUGUUGGCAAUCAUUUUAGUUCAAACCCCCCUUAGUCAAAGUACUCAAAGGAACUACUGCCUUAAUCUGUCCAUAUGAAAAGAAAAGGGCUUCCACCGAGACUGUAAAUAACAAGAUGAUUGACAAGUUAGAUGGCAUACCUUCUGAUUAAACAAUAGUCACCAAUAGUUAAGUAUUUAAUUAAACAAUAGUCAGCUUGCCGCAGCAUAUCCAAGUCACCAAUAGCAACAUACCUUUUGAUUCUACACCAAUAAAUUAAUCCUUUCCUCGUAUUCUCCCAAAGAUUAAGGAAAAAAAAGUAAGAUUAUAGAAACAAAGAAAGUUCAGUCAUGCCCCUAGCUUGAGUAAAUCGAGGGAAAGAAAAACAAUAUAUAUAAGAGGGAAGUCAGACAAGUCGUUUAUUGAAAAUUUUUUAACAAUAUUUUUAUAAUCUAACCUAUCUUAUUUAUUUUAUAUGAGAGUGAAGUCUAAAAAAAUUAUAUAAAAAAUUAAUAAAUAUACAAAGAUGACUAGACAAAAGAAUGUUUUAACAUCUCCUUUUAUUUUUCAUUUGUUUUUCUCGGCAAAUGAAAUUGAAUUCUCGACUUACAGAGAGUUACCGUCUAGAGAGAAAUUUGGAAUAUGCUUGGAUUAUAAUUUUUUAAAAAAAAUUAUUAUAUUUUUUAUAAACAUAUUUUUUUAAUCACUUUUUUACUUCACAAAUAUCAAAAUACUACAAUAAUUUUUCUACAAAAAAUUCAAAAAAAUACAAUCUAAACAAAAUCUUAAUCUUUUUUUGAUGGUGGUAUAACAAUAAUUAUGAAUAUAUGUAAACCCCCGAGCAGAAACUAUGUAGUUUCUACAGGUGUCUAUUGUCUUAUAUAUAUAUAUAUAUAUGUAUUAUUUUUUUACUAGAAGAAAUUCUCAAAAUAUUUUCACAUCUUCAUUUUAUUUUAAAUUAAAUAGAAAAUAAAAAAUUUCUAUUUCAAUUGAGCACAACCUGUCUUUUGUUGCCUCCCCAAAAAAAAAAAAAAAAAAACAGAGCCAAAGCUUAUUGACAAUUUAUCCAAAAAUAUAUAUAUUUUAUUGAAAAUUUUUUAAGAGUACUUUUUGUGAUCACUUUUUGUUUUAUAUAAAUCAAAUGUUUAAAGAUGGCAAAAUAUUAUUUAUUUUUCUAAAAUUACUUCUUAAAACCGCAAUCCGAAUUUACACCUCAUAAUCCUAUCUCCCAAUUUAACCCAACAAGGCACAAUUAGAUGCCAAUUCUCAUUCUCAUCGCCAAAUACCACCAAAAUGCUGAUUAGAUUUGACCAACAAAAAAGGGGAUUAAAAAUAUGUACAAUACAUUAACCAUAAUCCACAUAGUCAACAAAAGAUAAAGUAGCCUCAGCUACCAAAAGCCGAAAAAAAAAAGGCCAAAAAAAAAACAAAAAGGAGCAGAGAAGUAAAAGUGAUUAAGCUAAAAAGUAAAAUCCACCCAAAAUUUGAUUUUACUUCACAAUUCAGUAGGUCGGAACGACGCCGUAAGACGCAUCAGCAACUAUUAACGAUUCAAUUUCAACUUCCGCCCGCUUCGCAAACCUUCCUUUAAUUCUGGGUCGGGUCUCC
Molecule: long non-coding RNA, 71005 nt
Filed under: Coffea arabica (coffee)
Lineage: Eukaryota; Viridiplantae; Streptophyta; Magnoliopsida; Gentianales; Rubiaceae
Description: long non-coding RNA (CARA_LNC006025)
Source: RNAcentral